This 61743-nucleotide long non-coding RNA is filed under the name Ananas comosus (pineapple). Its description in RNAcentral is "long non-coding RNA (ACOM_LNC021874)". Lineage: Eukaryota; Viridiplantae; Streptophyta; Magnoliopsida; Poales; Bromeliaceae. The record is from RNAcentral.
ACAAAACACGUCUCAAUCUAAAACUAAACAAAAUAGAAAGGGCAUACUGUACCUCUCUUGGGAAGUGAUGGUAUGUUUUCUUGGGGAAGUAAGAGUAGUAUGGCGGUAAAUGAGGCACAAUAUCCUGCUCGUGUGUAACCCUGAUCGCAUGCUUUACAUUUUUACUGAAAAAUGACGCAAAAGCAGCAUUGCCGACACGAGGUUGUCCAAAGGUCAUAAGUUCGACAUUGCGUAUUCCCUCGUUGACCUACAAGACAAAUUUUUCCGUUCAAAUAAAGGGAAGUGCAUUUACAACGUAAAAUAUCCGAAAUUUGACGGGAGGAAAAGGUGCAAUAGAAAAUAAAAGCAAUUAUGUUGGUAGAAAGAAGCAUAUGGUACUUACAAUAAGAUCAAGCGCACAAAAGGAAGCCAAAGCCCCUCCCAUGGAAUGCCCUGUGACCAUUAUCUUGAUAUGUCCAUAACUCCUCCUAAUCUUUUCAACAGCACUUAUAACCGCAGGACGUAUCGUUGUGUUAUGGUACGCCGAAUAAAAUCCACGAUGCACCUUCAAUAAAAGCAGGAAAGAUGUAAAGAACACUAGUACCAAGAUUAGAUUUGGAAAAUGACCUUUUUAGAGUAUACAAUACCAACCAUCGCAUCAGGCAUGCCGGGGUAGUUCAAAUCAAGCUGUUUCCAUAACAGAUCCUCUACCCAGUUCUGGAUGCUGAAACAAUGAAAAGAAGUAAAUAAUCGAAUAAGAAAAUGACUAAAAAAACAUAAAUAAUAUGCAGAUAGAAAAAAUCAGAUUGAUCUUCUUCCUCCACUGCCUUUUAAUCUUUUAGGGUAAUUAAUCAAGGAUUCCCUACAAUUCUGUAGCCUGUAGAUCUUUUAUGUGCAAACUAUAAUUUAUACAAACUUAUGUUGAGUAAUUGCUAUAAAGUAGGAUUUCAAAUGUAAUCUGCAAGCUCAGUUCUAAAAUUAUGUACACCACAAUUACGAAGCAAAGUAGAUAGAUGGUGGGGCUCAUACACCAUAUUAUCCUCCAAUAUUUGCAUAUAAUUCAAAUAACAACAAUAAAUCAAAGGUGCAUAAUUGACAGAACCUCACUUAGUACCACCUAAGAUUCUGUGCAUACAGUAAAGGUUUGUAAUGCAUCUAGGCAACGCAAAUGAAAUUAUCUUAGGGUAAGUUUGGUUCCAUAUAACAGCAGAAAAUAGUUUUCAAAGGAAAAAAAUUUUCCAAGGAAAAAAUUAUAGCAACAAAAUUUAACCAUUCUUAAGAACCAAAAGAUGAAACAUCUAAUGUGCAAAAUUGAGACUUAAAAAAUAAAAAAUUCAUAACAUCUUAACAACAAAGUGUUAACCUGCCUAUUCAAAGUUACUAUGAAAAGCUCCAUACCUGUUCUCCUGAGUUCCUCUGAAAGCUACUAUGAUAGCAUCAAGAUUGUGAUCAACACCAACAACUGCCUGCAUCAUAGGUCAUACACAAUGUGCUUAAUGACAAAUCUUUUCACAAGGACAACAUAUUGGAAAACAAAAAGGAACCUGUAAGCAGUGCUGGACAUCCACAAUCAGCUCUAUCACCUCAAACCCCUGUUUCAAUAAUACUAAUGAGGUUACUAUCUACUCAAUAAGUACGGAAAGUACAUCAUGAUUAACAACAACAAACACCAUCCAAAAGCAAAUCGUGCAUGCAACUACGUGAGAAAAGAAAAUCCAAAACUCUAACCUUCGUCAAGUCAUUACAUCUUGAGCAGGUCCAUGUAAAUAGUGCUGUUAGAUCUGUCUCAGUUACCUGAAAAUCGUAUUAACGUUCAUCGCCAUAGGUCAGAAAUCAUGUUGAAACAGCAGAGUCUAAAAUGAAAUUCACAGAUCUAAUAAAGUAUGCAACUCAGAUGAGUUGUUGGAUAAGGCGAACCCUAACAAAUUAACUCAACCUUACGACAUCUUCACUUCUAAUCAGUACUAGCCUGACUAAAUGGUUAGGCUUUCUUCAAUAUAACCUGACCUGAUUUCUUCAUGGGGUAAAGUAGAGUUGGGCUAGGUUGAAGACAGUUUGGAUUUGGUUAGGUUGCCAGGUUUGACAUAAUUAAAAUUAGUGGUUGAAAGGAUUGAGACGAUAGAGUUCACCAAUUCUUUAAUGGAAAGGUAAACCUUUUCAUUCCAUAUUUUUUAUCUUAUCUAAAUGCAAGAAACGAAAAAUGAAUAAUACUUGGUAUAAAAUACAUAUUAUACAUAUUCUAUAAUAUAUGACUGCGUCGUACUGAUCAGGCUAAACUGGGCUCUGUUUGAGGUCUUGGGGUUGGGUUGAUAUUUCCCAACUCUAAAUCAACUUAGGUUCCAAACUGGCAUUAUAACUUGGUCCAUGAUCGUGUUGGCUUGACCAGUGUUCAAUUGAACCCAAACCAAGUAGCAGCUAUAGAACUGAUUAAGCACAUAUUUUAUUUCGAAGAAAAAUAAAACCAAUCGCUAAUAAUAACCAAUUUAGGAAAACAAAAAUGUUUGAGAAACAUGCCAACUACAACUAGUUUGUGAAAGCAAAGAAGUUCAAGAACUUAAAAUGUGCAAUUACAACUAGUUUGUGAAAGCAAAGAAGUUCAAGAACUUUAAACUAAUGGUGGAUCUUCUAGAAGAGAAACAGGGUAUCUGCGAGAUAACAGUUUUAUCAAACAAAAUAAAUUAGAAACGAAAGCUUACAGCAGAAGAAUAUUCCACGAGUAUCAUGGCAAUAGUGUGGUUAUAAAUCUGACUGUCGUCAUCAUUCUUGAUGGUAAGUUCUGCGGUUGCAAAAACAAAAGAUAAGGAGGCCAUCAGCAUUGCAAGAAAACAACUACAACAAUAAAAACAAUAGACUUUAAACAAAGCACUUGAUGCAACAAUUCAUAUCGGAAGAAAGGAUACAAGAAUGUGCCCGAUGUCCCAAACAAAAGUAAGCUCAACUUCCCAAAUCUGUUUUGUAGUGCAGAGUCUAAUCAUCAUCCUGUUGAUUUGGAAAACUUUUCUGUCCGGGCAUUUCAAAUUGUUUGUUACAUACUCACAACUAGCAGUAGGUUCUGAAGGAAAUUACAACAGAACUGCAUUUUGAAACACAGGGCGGUUGUCCAUAACUGUGCUAUACAAAGGGGAGCUUAAUUCAGCAUUGUGAAAUAAUUGUUUGUCACUAAAAGCUAAAGCCACUAGAAAACGGUGUUUUAAUAUUUUACUUUCAACUUUCCCUCUCACAUCUUGGAUCGAGAUUUUUCCGAGCCCCAAGACAUCAACUUGAACUUCAAUGAGGGAAAAAUGAUUGGAAUCAGGAGAUUGGUGGGAUUUGAGCUUAGGAAACUUGCUCCCGAUACCAAGUGAAAUACCAGCUCCUCAAAAAAGUUUAUGCUACCAGAGAAUGGCGUUUUAACACUUCAUAUUCAAGUGGUCGACGGGUUUCAAAAGUCCUUCCUUUUGCUGUAUGAGAAGAGAGAAAAUCCCUAUAUUUUUCAGCAUUUAGGUGUAGCUUCAAACUAUUAGUAUUCAAUGUUACUCAAUUUAAGACACUUGUAAUAACAAAAAUCAAAUUAUUGGCGCAAAAUAAAGAAUUUUCUUUCUUAAUUCAUGCCUAUUUGAUCAGAUCUUACAUUGCACAAUACAAAUCCCAUCUCCCUCAUUUCCCACUCAAAUUUAAGACUUAGAACAAAGCAAAUCUAACUGAUCCACAUCACCUUUAAGCAUCAUCAAGUAGAAUAUCCGAAAUUACUGCUACAAACAGCUCCAAAACCGAAAUUUGUAGCAUAAUUAGUAGCAAAAUUAGGGCAAAUUACCUCUCCCUUGACAAACCGAUCCCAACAAGCAGAUCAAAGCAACCCCCUUCGCCCAUCCAUGCCAUUCCAUACCCUAAAACUCCCCCCCCCAAAAAAGAGAAAAAAUUAAACAAAUUCCACUACAAAGCAUCACUAUUUACUCUCGAUCCACCACAAAAACGAGCGAAAAUAAACAAAAAGGCUAAAAAAUAAAUAAAAUUACCUCGAAGAGCGACGAGAUCGCGAUUCCGAACGGGUCGUAUCGUGGUGAAAGAGGAGACCCUCUUCUUCGCUUCUGGGUUUUUUUUUUAUUUCUAAUUUUUUUGGUUCUUUUAUUUUUAUUUUUAAUAUAUAGCUUUGGAUUAGCUUCGUCACGGUCGCUUUAAUAUCCGUGUUUGGGGAGGAAGAGAGAGAAAGAGAGAGAGAGAGAGAGACAAACGCGGAACGAUUCAGAGUCCCUCGCAGAGAAUCCGAAGUCAAAUCGAGCUUAUCCCGAUGAUCAAAUUACGUAAAUAAAUAUAUACACGUAAUACCAUAAUAAAAUAAAGGCCAAUUUGCAUAAAAAAUUUACAAAUUUUAAGUUUUUACAAAACUGAACCACAUUUUUUAAUUUUACAGAUUCGGACCGAAUUUUUCGCCAUCAGACAAAAGUACCCUUAUUCCUUUUCUUUCUCUCUUUUCUUUUUUUUUCCUUCGCUAUUUUUUUUUUCCGCCACCCGCUGCUGCGCCUUCUGUUGCACCCCCGCCGCCGCGCUCACGCUCGCCCUCGCCGCCGCCUCGCCUACCUCUACUAUCAACCCCCCCUUCUCUCCUUCCUCCUUCUCUCCGUCUGACCCCACUGCGCCCGGAUCUCCCCCCGAUCCUUCCACCCGCGCCAUUGCCACUGCCACAUCCCACCUUCUCCGCUCCGCCGCGCCGUGCUUCGUUGCCGCCACCGCUAAGGGCCCGCAUCUCACACGAUGCCCCGGCCGCCACCCGCGCCGUUGCUGUUGCUGCAUCCCAUCUUCUUCUUAGGGCUUUAGGGAGGAGGAGGAGAAAGAAAGAGGAAGAAGAGAAAGAAAAAAAAUAGUGUAAAUUGUAGGAAGAAGAAGAAAAAAAUAAUGUAAAUUUCACCUAAAUGGUGUAAAAUUGGGCAAAAUUGUGCAAAAUUCAGUAAAAAAUUGGCCCAAUUUUGAUGAGAAUUGCCCAAUUUUGCACCAUUUUGUUUAAAAUUGUACAAUUUUUUCUUCUCCUCCUCUUCCUCUUUCUUUUUCCUUUUUACACCAUUACACCAUUUUUUACAUCUUAAAAAAUUAUAUUUUUUUAACGCUUUCAUCUCCCUCGCCGGAGAGUAGGACUCAGACAGCGAUCUUGAGGUGGACGAGGGAAGCUUCUUCAGCCGGUCGCGCUCCCGCGGGUCCUCCAACUCGAACAACACCACCAGCCUGGACAAGAACCCGCGCCCGGCGUGCUGGCGGAGAGAGGCCUGGUUCGCGCCCGACACCGACGUUGACAGGAUGUCGUAGGCGAUGAGGUGUGGCCACAGCGGCACGAGGGACGCGACCGAGGAGUCGUUGUCGAGGAGGAGGGAUUCUGGAGGAGGGGGGUGGCGGUAACAGGGGGAGGCGUGCGGCGAGAGGGGGCGGAAAAGGUUGGCGGGCAGCAUGGAGAAGAGCGGGCGAAGGAUUCAAGGGGGGAGCGGGCGUCAGGCGAAGCGGAUGGCCUAGGAAAAAAAUGGUGAAGGAAAAAAAAAGAAGAGAGAGAAAAAAAGAAGAAAAAAAAAGAAAAGAAAUAGGGGUAUUUUCGUUCGAUGGUAUAAAAUUCGGUUCGAAUCUACAAAAUUGAAAAAGAUGACCCAGUUUUGCAAAAAUUCAAAACUUGUGGAUUUUUUAUACAAAUUGGCCUUAAAUAAAAUUAAUAUUAUAUUUUUAUAAAUAAAUUUAUAUAAUUUAUUUUAUAAAUUAAAAUAGGGCUACCGUGCUAUUGGAAACACAACACUUAUAUUUUUAACUUUCUAACUAUUCAUCAAUUUUGAUGGACGGUUAGGAUGAGAGAAAUGAGAGAAAUUUAAAAAAAUUCAAAUAGAAUAAAAAUUGAGACAUCUUUUUUUUUUUUUUCUCCCUCUCUCUCAUCCUNNNNNNNNNNNNNCCUAAUCAUCUAUCGUUCAUUUUCACUUUCUCAUCUCGUAGCUUAAAAAAUUUUACUAUAUUCUUAUGUGAUUUAACUCAUUUUUAUUUUGCCACCCUCCUUAAUUUGGCAUAUAUUUUACUUUUUCAUCCUAUAAUUUUUUUAAAUUGUUUACUUUGUCGUCGUAUUUUUUAUAUAAAAUUUUUUGAUAAAAUAAAAAAUUAAACCAAAAAAAGCAGAAUAAAUUUGUUGGAACCACAGAAUAACAAAGUAAAACCGAGCUAAACGCCUAAACCAUAAUGAUAUUAAGGAAACAAUUUGAAUUUUACCGUUGUUAUUAUAUAAAAAUUAAAAUUUAAAAUUUAAAAUAUAAGUAUGUAUGAACAAAAUAAUGAUAAUAAAUUAUAAUUUAAGAUAAGGACUAGCCGCGAAAUUUAUCCCAAAAUAAAAAAAAUAAACUCACAGUUUUAGGUAAAUCGUAAUUAGUGGAGAUAAUAUUAUAUCUGAAGCAAACCAUCUCACUUCCUCUCCGCCGUGCUUUAAGAUUCGCGUCGCCCACGCGAUGAACGGCGGAUAAGGCCACCGUUCUCGCGUAACUUUGGCCACCGUCCUACACCUUCAAGAAGCCUCUCUCCCCACCACCACCACAUCACCUCUUCUCUCAACCGCCGCCCCAAAACCCUUCUCCGAUCCCUAAUCGCCGACGCCCAUGGCGGCGGCGGCGGCGGCGGCGGCGGCGGCGGCGGCGCCCCAUCUCCCCGAGGACAUCGCUCUCUCUAUCGUGUCCCUCCUCGACGUAACCCUCUCUCUCUCUCUCUCUCUCUCUCUCUCUCUCUCUCUCUCUGUAUUACUCUUCUCGAUUCUAUGAUUAUUAAUGGCGAUCGUGUUGUUGUGGUGGUGGUGGUGGUGGUGGGCGAGAAGGUCGUGGACGUGUGCGCGCUGGGGAGUUGCUCCCGCUUCUGGCGCGGGAUCUGCGGCGCCGAUUGCGUGUGGGCCGAGCUCUACGAGCGGAGGUGGCCGAAGUCGGCGGCUUCGGGCGAUGGCGCGGCCGGAUUCGGCGGAGGAGGCCGAGGUGGUGGAGGAGGAGGAGGAGAGUGCUCCGGUGAUGGUGGUGUUGAUGAGGCUUUGUUGGUUCCUACACAGGUGGAGGUUUUUUUAGAUUUAUGAUGGUUCUUUUUGCUAAUUGCGGUGUUAUUUGAAGAGUUAUAGCUUUUUGUGUAGUUGUGUAUUAGUCCGGUACGGAGGUGGAUAUCAAUUCCAUGGAUAGUGCUAGUUCCAAUUUUGAUAAGGGCAUGGGGAUACUGCUGUUCGAUGAAGCGGUGCUUGAGGAGCGCUAAUAUGAAAUGGACUAUUAAACAGAAAUCUCCUUUAUAGUAUCUAUCUGCAGCGGAAUCGGAGGCACGAAAUCGGAGCUUCUGAUUUUGGAUCCCAAAAUCACAUUUCUGCGGCAAGUUCUCGCCACAAAGGCAAAAACCGAAUCGAAGUUUCGGUCAUUUGGUUAUCUUGAAUAAAUUCUCAUCCAAAUUUUAUUAGAUAAAUUUCUUGCUCUUCAUUGUGUAACUUGUAACUUGUAUUAGACAAAAACCAAAUUGUAUAUUUGUAUUAGAUAAAUUUUUUAGCAGUUCUCAUUAUCAUCAAGAAUUCUUCAUUGUGUAACUUGUGUAGAAUCAGGUAGAACCGCUUCUAAGAUCUCAUCCUAAUUGUAUUAGAUGAAUUUCCUGGUUAUGUGCUAUGUGCUACAAAUUGAAAAUUUUAGUUCUCAUUAUUCACAUGAGAUUCUUCAUAAUGUAUCUUGCUUAGUAUCAUGUUCUAAAUGAUUAGCACGUUUCUUCUAAAGUUAAUUUUGUCUUUUAGUACUUCAACCGAUUUGUCAUGCUGCAGGGGUGGAAGGCUUUAUAUGUAAACAAGCACAGGAAAGUGGCCACAGCUAUUUCUGGUGUGGUUGAGUUUGUAGGACAGUGGUCACAGAAUGAGUCACUUGAAAUUGGAAAUCAUUUGAAAGCAAUUUGCUAUCUGAACUCAUUGAAGAUUGGCUUCAAAGAUGUUCAAUUUUUUCUCUUCACGAGAAAGCAUACUGUGCUGCUGAAUCUCAUCGGAUUGCAUUACUCCAUUAUUUGGUUAGAAAUAUUGGUAAGUGAUUUCGCGAAUCUCAAAUGCACAUACCUUUUAUUCAGAUCGAGAUUGCGUCAACUGUUUACUUUUGCAGUGUGUACUACUUUGUGGUGCCUCUUUAGUGAUGUUUUCCUGAUUAGAUCAAACUCUCAAAUUGAACUUGUUCCCUUGUUUCUAUUUUGAAGCUUUAAAUGGUUUAAAUUUGCAGCCAGAAAAAGUAAUGGAAGCUCUAUUGAACCGCCAAAUAUCUGAGCGGCAAGUAUGCGUGAGCUGGUUCAAGCUUGGCCGAUGGUUCUAUGGUUUCCGCUUGCAUGAUGAGCAACGAUCAAAAAGAGUUUCUUUAGGUGAGCUCACAAUGGGCCCGGAGGAAGAGGUUCUUGGUGUGCUCAACCGUGGGGCUGUCCACGAAGUGUUGCGCGUCCAAAUCACAUCCGCCAAAUGAUCAAUAUAAUGAAAUCAAGGUAUCAAGAAACAAAGUAGUAGGAGUUGGUUAUAUGUCACAUUGUAACCGAAAGAUGUAAUUGUGUUUGUGCACUACUGAGGGGCCCCAACAUAUUCGCAUGGUCCAAUUUGGUCUGCAGACUUCAGUUUGUUACAAUCGGAUUGCUAAUGGUUUGGUUACGGACCCAACUGUAAUAACUGAAAGGUUGUGACUAGAUUGAAUCCUCCUGAAAACAUUGGAGACCUGUUGUGCAAUUUACCCUGUAUAUUUAUGUAAAUAAAGUGUUUCAAAUAGUCAAGUUUAAUAAACGGUCAUACAUGUGAAACUUCAUGCUGCAUCUGUAAAUUAUUUUAUGUUGCAUCUGUAAACAACUGUAGCCAGACUUGGUCCUAUGGAAGAAAUUUCAAAUCUAAUGUUUAGUAACUCUUGUUCUCAUAUUCUUACUGAGAUUCAUGUCUUAAUUUUGGAUAUCUUUCUACUACUAAUCUGAAUUGUCUAUUUCUCAUGUGUGAAUACUUGCAGAAAAAUACUUUGUUAUUUACAUAUAAGUCUGUGUGAACUCAGAACAUGAUUGCUCCUAUAGAUUGAUCCUUCAUUAAUUCAGUUGGUAUGACAGCAAUGCCAAAAAGAAAACAGUUGCUCUUCCCUUGGAUUUUACAGUCGACAACAUACUUAUAAUUUUUAUUUGAGAAUCAGGAAAUGACUUUUUACAGAUAGCCAUCAAAAUACAACAAAGAGUAGCAGCAUGAAUUUGGAGAUCUGGAUAUUAUAUUAUUAUGUUCUAUCGAUCCCUGUUCGUCGAUCGUCAAUGAGCUGAUGACGCAAUCGGCACUGCACCACCUUCUUCUGAACUCUUCUUCUCCGAGAUCUUCACCUCACCAUCUAUUUCCUCAAUGGAUAUGGUCUCCUUGAAGUCUACUGAAUUUUGUCCAAUUGAUUCGCCUACAAAUUGUGCCAAAAUAUCAUAAUGAUGAACUACAUUAAGUAAUUUAAAUGCGAGAGAACUAGGUGCAAUCACCUUCUGUUAUCUUUAGUUUAUAGAUAGGAAAAGAAACUAAUGAAUAAUAAGAGGAAAUAGUUUGUGAAUGUUGGUUCAUGUAUAGCAGUAGCAUUGUUCAUUAUUGGAAAAAUAGUAUUGUCAAAAGAGUUUGAAUAUUUUUACCAUCUUCUUCUUUAAGAUCUUCUUUAACAGGAGUCUCAUCUUUCUUGUCCAAUGCUUCAUUGUUCUCUUUGUCCUUGGCCUCUCUAUUCUCCUUCAACCCUUCCUCAUCUCCAUCAUUUUUGACCUCUUUUUUUUCAUCAAACUCCUCAUUUGGUAAAUGGUUUUCAACUUCUUCUGGUAUAGCUUUCAUUUCAAUUUUCUCCUCUUCCUUAUUGGAUGAGGAAUUCUGAUCCGACGGCUCCUCUGGAGUAAGCCUCUCCUCUUCGAUGGCCUUCUCUGAUGCCCCAUUGCUCGCUUCGGUGCUCGCUUCGGUGAUCCCUGCGUUAGUUUGCGUGCUGCUCAAGCUUUUAUCGAUGGAACUGUUGUUUGUCGUUAAAGAUGACGUGCUCUUUGCAGUGCUCGAUUUCUUUCGGAAGAGUUGGCUGGUGCUCACCGUGUUUCCGGUGGCCACUUCCUCUUUCGAUCCCCCACAACCCAUUGAGAUAAGAGAAAGAGAGAGAGAGAGAGAAAUGAACAAAGGAAAAUGAGUUAUAAUAAAGAGAUAGAGAUUGAAUGGAAGAGUGCUUGAAGGAGAUGCAAAGAAGAGUUGAAACAGGGUGAGCUUAUAUAGAGCCUUUUGACAACUUGGACUUAGAAGGAAUGAGCUAUUAUUGGGAAAGGAAAACUUUGUUAACUACAUAACCUCUUCUAACUAAUUUUAGCUAUAUAUGAUGGCUAAGAUCUCUUGGACAAAUCUAUUUUGUUGUCACCUACAUUGUUUCCCUUUUUUAGUUAUGUCUCUCUAAUCAACUAACUUUUUGACUUUUAUGUGAUUCAUUCCAUUUUUUUAAUGUCAUUUUUUCCUUUUUUAGUACCCAUCUCUCAUUGAAAUAGGCCAUGUAAUAGUGUAAUAGCUGUUAUUAAAAAUUGGCAGCUAAGAGUAGCUAAUCCUUUUUCCAUUGUAUGGCAAGGGUUUGGUAUAUUGUGCUUUAUUUUGCUGAAACUGAAUAACCAAACUGAAUUUAAAUGUUUAGGUGAAUUUGGUUCUGUUGGUUGAGAUAUUCCAAAAAUUCCAAUUUUUGGUUUCCAAUUAGAUAGUAGUGAAACCAGGUUGGAUAAUAUUUAUUGGAUCCAGCUACCAAAUCCGAGGUUUGUCGCAUAUAUUUUUACAUAUCUUUGAUAAUUUUCUGGAAGUGGAUACAAUUUGAAGCCAUACAAGUGUUCAUGUAUAUGUAUGUGUAUCAGAAUUUUACAGAAUGUAUUGUAGGAUGUUAACAUUGCACAUCUUUCCCAUGUACUUUAUGAUGAUUACCCAAUUUAUUUGUUCUAUAUUUUGCUGCAGUAUGAUAUUUUUCUUACUAUUGCAGGUAUACACUUUGAAACAAUAUGAAUAUAUUUGAAUCCUGAUUAAGCAAACACGGUUUCAAAUGCCGGCAAAUGUGAGAAGUCCGCAUCCUCGUGUAUUUGGAGCAUGGUUUAUCUGCGGAAUCUGCUGGUAAGUUUUCGCUUUAACAUCUAACAUAUAUUACGCACUUUUUGUUGCAGAUGUUUUCAAAAAAGCUUCACUGCAGAUGCUAGAAAAGCAAGCUGAAAUCAUAUUUUCUGGCCUUUUUGCUCGAAUCUUGACUGAGCAAGCAAAUCAAACACUACAAGGUGAAUAUGUUGUUUAUGUUGGAUUUGGAUUACUCCGUCUUCACUGACCCCAAAACCACCCCCAAAAAAAAAGGGAAAAAAAAGAAAAAAAAAUCUCAGCAAACUGAGUCUUUGAUCUGCAUCCUCUCUGAGCAUAUAUUAAUUCUAAGAAAGACUUGUUGAUGGGCUGAGAAAGUGUCAAAAUGGGGGCCCAGGUGGGCCCAGUGGGCCAGGGGGCCCACCAAAGAGGGGCCCACAGCAAUCCUGUACCAAGCAGCAGCAGCAGAGAAAGUACAAGCUGCAAGCCAAACAACAGAAAAAGGUUAGUUGAACCACAGAUCACUAACCAUUACCCGAUUUGUCACUUCGGUCGUCAACAUUUUGUUUCUUAUAAUUGAGCUCAUAUCGUACGUCAGUUAAAAGUCUCUUUUCUCUACAAGCCUUGCUAAUUUUGACGUAAAAUUGCUGUAAUACUGACGUGACAGGCACAGAUUGGUGUCGAUUCGAUAAUUUCUGUUCGAGUUUAGUGGAUAUUUUGAUUUUGAUCCCUACUAGAUAUAAUGUUACGGAAACAAGAAGAACUAACCAUGGCUCGAAGAAGCCGAGAAACCCGGGGCCCCAGAAUGGCCCACCGGGUCCGGGGCCCCACCCAGGUGGGCCUGCAGGAAGAGGAGCCCACCCAGGCCCACCAGGCCCACCAGGUCCCAUUCUCACCUCCUACUACAAAAACACACAAAGGGAGCAGGAAUGAAUGAAUGAAUGGGCAAAAACUCAUACAUUGCCUUUGGCUCCUUUCACUGUUGGGUUUAUAUAUAAGGCCAUGAGGAUAUGGUGAGCACUAUGCUUUAUCUAACUUGUUAAAAGUUUGUGCUUGAAUAGUUGAUAGCUCUACCAUUCUACAACAUCAACUUGUCCCAUCUACUUAUCUACUAACUACCAUUCAAGUGUCCUCUACUUGUAAUUUUUUUUUUUAAAAAAAAAGGAGAUAAUAUGGCCUUAAGUAGAUUAGCUUUUUUUUUUUUUUUUUUGGAAAAAAGAUAGCACGAUACCCGUUUUAUUUAUUCAGACGAUAAACUAAAUUAUAUGGGUGAGGCAGCAGAGCCUCGAGAUAGGUGAAAAAGUGAAUAGGUCAAAAAAAAAAAAAAAAUCACCACUCCACUAACACUAUCAGGGUCCCGCUACGUGUCAUAAUUUUCCCCACAGAGAUGACAGUGGAUUAAUCUUAUAGAUUCCACGUAUUGGAUCUGCCAUGGAUUUUCUAAAAAUCACUCUAUUUUUGGUCUCCUAUAUGACCCACCAACAAGCUAUUACUCUAAUUAAACCGUUGUGCAUAGGUUGCGCACCCUUCCGCCUUGUACAUAAAUCCCAAAUUAGAUGCGCAUCUUCUCCCAAAUCACUCGGUUGGACAUCCUCUAGAGACAUCACCAUGAGGAAUCUGGAGAACAAGCAUCAAGAAAAAAAGUGAUCAACUGUUUCCGCAUGUGACCCACCAAAUUAGCUGCAAAAAUAGUUGUUCUUGGAAAGAGUAGGCCAUAAGUACAUUAGCAUUAUGUAUUUAGUUAUAAAUACAUAAUACUAACUUUAAUGCCUUUAAUAUAUUUUAAAUUUAAUCAAAUAUUUUAAAUAUAUUUGAUUUUUUUUAUACUGUACAUUAGUUCAUUUUAUUGCUAUAAAUAUUUAGUAAUUUGAUCUGUUAUAGAUACUAAUUUAAAAAAUAAAUAAAAAAUAAACUUACUAAUUAGAUUAAGUUUAAAUUAAUUUGAAUGAAAAUUAUAUUAAAUUUAACAAAACUUUAAAUCAAAAUUAAGUUAGUAUAUUUUUUGAAAAUCCACGGCGUCCCGCGGGAGUGGAGAUUCUCACGCAGAGUUGCACGGGAUUUUUUUGUUUUUUUUCUAUUGGCAGGGAUAGAGACCGGAAGGAACCCUCAAUCCUGAUUUUAUUUGUUAUACUUACUAAUUUGAAAUUUAAAUAGAAAAGAUUAAAUUUAUGUUAAUUUGAAUUAAAAUUAUAUUAAAUUUAACAAAAUUGUAAACAAAAUUAAGUUAGUAUAUAUUAUGAAAAUCCACGAAGUCACACCUCUCCUCCGAGAGGGGUACACCUCUCCACUGAGAGGGGCACAAGAGAAUUUUUUUUUUUUUUUUCCAUUGGCAGAGACAGGACAGGAACGGAGAUUCUAAAAACUCGCAGGGACGGAGGCAGAAAGGGGCCCUCAAUCCCGGCCCCGCCUGGUUGCCAUCCCUAAACAAAACUUCGCAGUUGCGAUAAGAAGGCAACAAAAGAUGAAUUUCGUAGAAUUCGAAAUAGGAAAUGUAGUGAAACCAUACAGGAGAAAAAUGAAGGACAACCACCAGUCCAUCCCUCUCUUAGGAGGUGUCAUUUUGGUCCUCGAACUUUCGAAUUAUUACAAUUUGGUCCUUACAUCUUUGCGAUCUUAUGUAAUGUUACUCGCCUCAUUAUAUUUCUUGACUAAAUUGGGUGGAAAUGACCAUAUCUUGUAUGGUCUUGAUCUAACUAAUGCUUUUAUAUGAACAAAUCAAACCAAAUCUUUUAAGAAUAACUCUGCUCAAUAUAAUUGAUAAAUGUGGGGGACAAAUCCAUUCCAAAUGCAUGUAACAUCUAAAGCUUGUCAACUACACAUGAGUAUUGGGAUUUUGCAAGAGUAUGUUUACAAAUAUGUAUUAAUUUUACUUUCCUCUUUUCGGAAGGGACAAGUAAAUUUAUUGCUCAUUAUUUGCUGCAUUCAACAGAGACUCUUAGGCCCCCAUCCAUUAAUGAGAAUUGGCCCUGUUCUCAACUAAAUUCCACAAAGAAAAAAAAACUAAAUUCCACAAAAAAAAAAAGCCCUAAUUUUAUUUAUUGAUCAUCCACACCUUUAUAUUUAAUAAGCAGAAAAAUAUCUUCCAAAUAAAUAGGAUAUAUAAUACGCCAAUCAUACAUUGACAUAUUAAAUUGAUAUAAUAUGAUGCCCUAUAAUGCAUCGCACUGGAGAAAAGUUUUUUUGUAUAAAAUUUUUGUCUUCUUUCUUUCUUUUUUUUUUUUCUUUUUUCUAGAGAGAACAUAAUGGGGACUUUUUGAAUUACCAUAAACACAUAAUAAUGUGUUAAUUUUAUGAUUUACGAAAAGCCAUAAACAAGUUCAAUCAAAUUAUGAACCCAUUUAAGGAUAUUUUAAAUAUGAUCAUAAGUUGGAAGGGAUAAUUGAUACAUGAUAUGGUAACUUGAAAAUAACACAACAUGACAUGGUAGGACACAACUAGAAAAUAAUUUAAAUUUUUUUAUUUUGUUUUUUUAUUUUUUCUUUUUUUUUAAAUAUGGCCAAGUUGUACUUAAAAUCACUCUUUUUUUAACCAAAAAGAAGAAGAAGAAGAAAAAUUUUUUGGCAAAAUCUAAAACAAAAUUGCCGAGUGGGGAUUCAUUGCACUUUUGGAUAUUUGCCUUUUUCUCAUGCAGGGUACAAAGAUAUUUAUCAGACCCAUAAAAUUUCUAAAUAUAAAAAAAAUAUAAAUAUGAAAGUUAAUUUACAGUGCACUGAGUCCAUCAAAAUCUUUUGAGGUAUGAAUGAGAUAAUUUAAUUGGAUGGUUAAGAUAUGCAUGUCUUUUGUGUUGGGAAAAUACUGGGCUGAAAUCUGAUUGUGAUUAGAAUCUAAUUAGUUUAAUGAUUAAAAUAAAUAAAUCAACUUACACAUAAAUACAUAUAUUUUAAUAAAGAUUUGAUCUUAUCCAGAAACGUGCGAGACACUACCCUAAAGUGUAUUCUCGUCUUUACAUACGGGAUUAACCGGAAAUAACACUCCAAGGUACAACUGAAUUCCUCCUUCUACAAGCACAAUCGUGCAAGAGGAAAAUAAAAGAUGAAAAGAAUUGAUAAAUAUGGAUAAACAUAUAUACUAAUAUUUUUCUAGCUACUCUGUAUUAUUAGAGGAGGAAAAAAGAGGAAGGAAAUUUCACGCUCUUUUUCGUUGCGAGAAAAAAACGUAUCCUGCGCAAUGGAAUGAAAUUUCGUUUUGCUCAAGAAAUGGUACGGGAGAAUAUCCCGUUGAUUUCUUUCUCACUAAAUAAAUAAAAUAAUAAAAAUAAUAAAUAAUAAAUAACAAUAAAUAUUAAAUAAAUAAUUUAAAAUUCAAAUAGAAUAAAAUUCAAAUUUUAAAAUUUUGAUUCUUUCACCAACAUUUCAUGGCAUGUAUGAAACUGGUGCAUGUUGAUUUUUCAUAGGCUAACAAUAGGAUGUUGACUCGAAAAAGUUAUCAACUCUAAUUUGAUUUUUCUCAAAGCCACAAAUGAAGCAAGUGAAAUACAAGGAGAAGCUCGAAAACUUAAUCAGUAAUUUAUUGAGUUUCGAUCCGAUUUAGAGAAAUUCAUUUAGGAUAAAAUGUUUGAAUUUUUUCUUGUAAUUUAGAAAGCUGGCAAUAAUUAUAAGACUCUUAUAUUUAAAUUGAAAUAAAUACAAAAGUGUAACUGUGCAUUCUGAAUUUUUCAAAUAAAAAAUAUAUCUCUCCUCCUCUUGGAUAUAGACAAGUUGUGAACUAUGUAAAUUAUUAUUAUCUUUUCUUUAUAUAUUUAUAUUUUAUUAUUUUUGCUAUUUUUUAUUCAUAUAUUUUUGUUGAAAAUAUAUGCAGAACGAUCGUUAGCCCCAACCACAUCAUUUAACUUUAUCCUAAUGCUUUUUUUUUUGUUAGGGCCUUAAUAAUUCAUUAACACAAUCAAUCAAUAGCAAGACAAAGAAACACAUGGAGAAGGGUCCUCAUGUUCUUUACGACCAUUAUUACUAUAGGCAAUUGCUUUAUUUAUGCUUUUUAUGCCGUAUAUAUAUCAUACAAAUCCUAAACAAAUAUUACCACCGUAUAGAAUAGCUGGUAAGUAUAAUCUUUCAUAAUGAUGCAUGCAUGUUUUAUAACUCGAAUUGCAUUUCUGUUUCAAAAGAAAUGUGUGCGUGUAUACAACCUACAGGCAUCUUUCCAAAAAUUUAAAAAGAAAAAUAGCCUUGCUGCUUAGGAUGAUAAAAGUUGGUACAUAAUGCCACCGUUUGGUCGGGGGUUAAGGGGUGGAAUAACCCCUUAACCCCCAAUUUAUACCCAAACACCACUCUUUUGGGGUGGGGUUAAACCCCACCCCAAACCGGGUUAGUGGGGUUUACUAAUCCCACUUCCCCUCCCAACUUUAACCCCGCACGCAUCCCGAUCCCUCACCUUUUUCUUCUUUAUCAAUCAUUAACCCCACUCCCCCUCCCAACUUUAACCCGGCACGCAUUCCGAGCUCUCACCUUUUUCUUCUUUAUCAAUCAUUAUCUUCUUAUCUCAUCUACUCCAACCAAAUAUUUUUUUUCACUAUCCUAGACUAACUCCAACCUCCAACCAAACACAAAAAAAUUUUAAUACUAUUUUAAUCCUGAACUUAACUCUAUCUCUGGAAUAGCUAUUUUUUCUUAACCCGAACCAAACGGGCGGUAAAUGUCUAAUAAAUUGUGGCAUUAAUUGGUUGUUCACACAUUGUCAUCAAAAAAAUCUACAUGUCUCCAUGCAUACAAGUGUUAGUAGCCCAAAAGGCAUAAACCACAAUGACCUUCCCAGUUCCCAAUAACAGGUCUCUUUCCUUGGUCUGUACUUUCUCCUAGGCUAAAAUGGUGCAGAAUUUGUUUAAAUUUUGAACCAUUUUAAUUUAGAAAAAAUUUCAAAUAUUCUUAUUGUGGCUUCACUCUUUCUCAUUUUAGUACCCGUGGUUUAAAGUGCAUCAAGUUAGUUCCAUGUGGUUUUGCAUUUUCUCACUUUAGUAUCAUGCGGUUUAAAGUGUAUCAAGUUAGUACCAUAUGGUUUCGUACUUUCUCACUUUAGUUUCAUGUGGUUUAAUAUUUCAUUAAGAAAAAAAUAAAAUCACAGGAUACUAACUUGAUACAAAAAUAAAAUCACAGAGUAUUAACUUAAUACACUUUAAACCACAGGGUACUAAAGUGAGAAAGUGCGAAACCAUAAGAUACUAACUUGAUACACUUUAAACCACAGGGUACUAAAAUAAAAAAUUACGAAACCACAGGGGGGUUUUUGAAGUUUUUUCUUAAUUUAACUAAUUAAUUUUUUAAACAUUUAACUUUAUUAUAUAAUUUUUCUGUUUGUUUGAUUUGAGUUGAUCAACGACGCCUUGGCUUUAACAUUUGAACACGUUGCUUAUUUUUAUAGAUUUAUAUGGUAUAUUUUAUGUAAUUGUCAUAAUUAUAAAUUUAGUAAAGUAAGUAAUUAUUUUAAAUUUUAAAGUCAAAAACUUUUUGGCUGAUCCAAAUUAAAAAAAUUUAAAGAAAUAUAGUAAAAUUAAAAUUUUGAAAGAUCGUAUAGUUGAUUCAAAAUUUUUCAUAAUUAAUGUAAGUUUUAAGGUAUAGAUUAAAACUGCCCUCAUAUUUUUUGUUCUUUCUAUUUCAACUUAAAGAUGUGGUUCCUUUUCUAAGGUGGAGAGAAAAACACUAAUUUAUUUAUUAGAAAACAUGUUAUAUAGAAAUAGUUUUUUUUUUUUUUUGAUUUGUUCAUACUCCAAUUCCAAAUAGCUUUUUUUUUAUGGGCAUGUUUGGUUCAAGUUAUCAUGUCAGAAUUACAGGAUUACAAGUAAUUCUGUCAAGAACUCAAGAUUACUACGUUUGAUUUAUUUAGUUUGUAAUAUGGUCGGUAAUAUAGCAUUACAAAUGAUAUAGGAUUAUUCUGAAAAUAUUACCAAGCGGGAGUAGGUAUCACGUAUUAUUGAUGGCGGAUUAUCUUACAUGUUAUAUAAAAUUACAAGUUUACCCCUCUAGCCUCCUAAACGUUUUAAUAUAUCAUUUUUAAAAUUUUAAAUUUAAACUUUCAAAUCUCAAAUUCCAAAUAGCCUUUUUUUUUUCUGAAAGUAUUAUUACAUGUUGAGUAUACAAGAUUAAAAAUAUGGAAAAAUUUCCUCCAUACCCUUAUAAAACCAUCUAAUUUUAUAAAUACCCAUCUAAAAAUUGAUAUCACAACUCAAUUUGAAAAACUUUCAAAAAUAACCCUACCAUCGAAUUUCUAUCUAAAUUAAAGUUAAUUAGUAUUUUAAUUCUAACUUUUCCCCUCUUAUGUAUUCAAUGGUCAAUAAUUUUAUUUCAUAAAUAUUAUCUAUUAUAUUUCAAAAUUAUCUAAGUAAAAUUCAAUUGAUUUUAAUUUUAAAAAAUCAUUCAUUUUAAUUAAAAAUAAAUAUUUCUAUUUGGAAUAAAUUGCAGUUAAAUUAACAAUGAAGCAAAAUAAAAUAAAAUUUAACUACAAUCUAUUCCAAAUAGAAAUAUUUAUUUUUAAUUGUUUUAGUCUGGAUAGAGUUUAUUAAUUUUGAAAUAUUAGAGGGGUAAAGUUGGAAUUUAAAUACUAAUUAACUUUAAUUUGGGUGGAAACUUGAUUGUAAAAUUAUUUUUGAAAGAUUUUCAAAUGCUCGGGGGUAUACAUGAUAUUUUAAUUUUUAAAUAAGUAUUUAUGAAAUUAGAUAGUUUUAAAAGGAUAUAGAGAAAAUUGUUCCUAAAAAUAUUAUCCUCUAGACAAUUUUUGAAAGGAGAGAUAAAAUCACAUGCAAUAAAUAAAUUCUCAUAAUAAGUAAGUUAUUAUUAUGUAUUAAUUCAAAGAAGGAAAAACUUCAAAUAUCCCGUGGUUUCGCACUUUCUUAUUUUAAUACCCUGUGGAUUAAAAUGUAUCACAAGUUAGUAUCAUGUGGUUUCGAACUUUCUCAUUUUAGUACCUUGUGGUUUAAUAUUUCGUUAAAUUAUGUACAAAAAACUUCAGAUAUUCUACCUAGGUUUAUCGAAUAUUUAUUUUAGUAUCAUUUAGUUUUAACCUUGUCACUGAUUUAACUAAAAAAAUACUCCGAAAUAGAUAAUAAAAAGAAAAAAAUAAAACCACAGGGUACUAAUUUGAUAUAAAAAUGAAACCACAGAGUACUAACUUAAUACACUUUAAACCACAGAAUACUAACGUGAGAAAGUGCGAAACCAUAUAAUUUAUAUUUUAAAUUAUAAAGUAUUAAAAUAAGAAAGUACGAAACCACACGUGGGUAUUUGAAGUUUUCCCUUCAAAGAAACUAGCAAUUAUUAUUAUUUCAUUUUCUAAUUAAUAUCACUAAUUGCUAAUGUGGCAAGAAGAAAAGUCAAAUUUGUAGUAACAGAAAAAAAAAAAAAUGUCAGACAGUAUUUAUGAUCUGAACCCACCCACAUAACAGAAAAGAAACCCUUUCCAGACAAGCAUGAUUAAUUUGGUUCACUCAUUAAUUUAUUGCCUCUUUCCCCCAAGGAGAAUGUCAUAGAUUUUUCAAAAUAUGAUCCUCUACAUUAUUUACUAUAUCAACAAUAAUAUAAUAUUUUUAGCCUUUUUAUACUUGUUAAAUUCAUAUAUUAUUUUACGUAUCACUACAUUACAUUACGUAACACUCUAAUAGUCCCAUAUCGAAUAAAAAAAAAAUUAUAAUUAUAUAUGUAAGAGAUCGGAAACCCUAAUUAUAAUAAUCGGGCUUAUGUAUUUGAAUAUGAAUAUCGGCUGGUUUAUGUAUUUGAACAUGAACUUUGAAUUAAAGAAUUAUUGUAAUUGAACACGGUCUAUGGGUGACGUGGCAGACCCGGUCCAUGCAGCUUCUUAUAGUGGAGCGCGACGCACGCGUGGGCCCCGACAACGUAACGUAUCGCCACUUGGGAAACGAAACGCUUCCACGCUACGCAAACCCCACGCGACCCAGUACUGUAAAAUCUCCUAUUAGUCCCUCUACUCUUCUGAUUUUAUGAUUCCAUCCUUACCAAUUCAAAUUCACAUCAGAAAAAAAAAUUUACUAAUCAUUUUAUAAGAAGAAUUUGUUUUUUUUUUUUUAAGGCUAUAAGGGAGGGUGACAAUAUAUGCAAAAUUAUUAUUAUAAGAAUUAAAAGUUGGUUUAAUUCUAUUUUACAAUAAAUUUCAUCAGAAUAAUUAAAUACUACUUGAAUAAUACUAUUAGAAAAAAAAUGUUAUUUUAAAAUAAUUUUGAUAAUUUUUUCAAAAGCAGAAUUUAAAACACCAAAUUAUACAGUUCAGCAAAGAUCACUUUAGUUCUAUUAUAAUAUUGUUUAAUAACAUAUUUGUCCAAAUGCGUGCUACUAUUAUAAAAAAAUUACUAUAAUAAAAAUACUCUCAACAUAUUUUUUUAAAGCAGAUUUAAAAUCACUUAGCUGAAUAUUUUGUUGUUUAAGCUAAUAAAAAUAUCAUUUUUGCUUUCCACUAUAUUUAGUAAAAUCUUUCAAAUUUUCUCUUUGCAAAUUUACAUUCUAUCAGUAAAUAUUUAUAUUUUUAAAAAUAUAUUAGUUAUACAUUUUAUUUAUAAUGUGUACAUCUUAUCUCCACUAUUCAAGUACUUAAAAUUCUUAUUAAUGAAUUAUAAAAUUUUUUAGUAUUAAAAAAAAACUAAUAAAAAUUAAUUUAAAAAUAAUAAUUUUUGUAUAAAAUAAAAUAUAAAAUUUAUACCCUAGUACAUGCAUAUGUGCAAAUAACUCUGCUCAAAAUAAAAAAAUAGAANCAUCCCAUAGACUUCAAAAAACAUAUAUUAAAUUGUUUUAUAAUUGUUUACUCGGCUGUUUUCUCUUUUUACUUUAGUGUCUCAUGAUUUAACUAUGUCAAAUUUGGUGUACCAUGAUUUUACUAUUUCAUACUUUGGUAUAUAAUAAUUUAACUACGUGUAAUUUGGUAUCCCAUGAUUUUCAUUUUUUCAUGCUUUGAUAUCUUUACCAUAAAUUUCUAAAAAGAAAAAAUAAUAAUAAUAAACAUAGUCUUCUUCCAUAUACAUUAGGUUUAUCGAAUAUUUAUUUUAAUAUCCUUUAAUUUUAACUUUAUCACUGAUUUAAUAAAAAAAUUAGUAAAAUGAAUAAUAAAAAGAGAAAAGUGAAACCACAGAGUACUGACUUAAUAUACUUUAAACUAUAGGGUGCUAAAGUGAGAAGUUGCAAAACCACAGGGGCUAACUUGAUACACUUUAAACCACAUGGUACUAAAGUGAGAAAGUGUGAAACCACAAGGGGGUAUUUGAAGUUUACCGAUAAAAAAAAGAGUAUGGGGACGGUGUUGUAAUUACACGAUAGUACAGGGCCCACCAUGUAAAUAAUCCCACAAACUCCCCCGUAAUAUUCGUACCCCUCCUCCCCUGUGUCGUCGUCCUCUUCCUCUCCAAAACAGAGAGAGAGAGAGAGAGAGAGAGAGAGAGAGCGAGGAGGAGCGCAAUGCACGACUCCGACACCACUCCCCAAACCCCUAAAAUGUCGGGGGCGAGCGAGGAGGCCGUGGUGGUCAUCGUCGGCGCCGGGCCCUCGGGGCUCGCCGUGGCGGCGUGCCUGGCGGCGCGCUCCGUGCCGAGCCUCAUCCUGGAGCGCGACGACUGCGUCGCCCCGCUGUGGCGCCACCGCGCCUACGACCGCCUCCACCUCCACCUCGCCAAGCGCUUCUGCGCGCUCCCGCUCCUCCCCUUCCCCCGCGACGCCCCCACCUUCGUCCCGGCCCGCGACUUCCUCCGCUACCUCGAGCUCUACGCCGCGCGCUUCGCCGCGCGCGUCCGCCUCCGCCGCCGCGUCGCCGCCGCUCUCUUCGACCCGCCGUCGAGCACCUGGCGGGUGCGCGCGCGCGCCCUCGACACGGGCGCCGAGGAGGAGUACGCAGCGCGCUUCGUCGUCGUCGCCGCGGGGGAGAACUGCGCCCCCGCCCUGCCCGCGCUGCCCGGCCUGGACGGGUUCCCGGGCCCGGUCCGCCACUCGAGCGAGUACCGCUCCGGUUCGGGCUACGCCGGGAUGCGGGUGCUCGUCGUCGGCUCCGGCAACUCCGGGAUGGAGAUCGCUCUCGAUCUCGCCGAGGCGGGGGCAAAAACGUCAAUUGUCGUCCGGAGCCCGGUGAGUUUUCACUUUUUUUUUUUUCUUUCUUUUCGAACCGGACCGGACCGGUGGCGUUGAUUUAUGCGGAUUUUUUGGGCUCGGUUUUUUUCACUUUUUCUAAUAUUGGAUUUACUUGUCGUUCGUUUUCAGAUUUUUUUGUCUUUAUUUAUUUUUUUUUUGUGGUAAACUACAAUUGGCACCUUUGAUUUAGUUUGAUUUCAUUUUAACACCCGUGGUUCCCUAAUAAGUUUUACUUUACUCCCGUGUGAUUUAGGUUUUUUUUUUUUUUUUUUUUUACUGUGUCAUCAUGUGAUUCAAAAUGGUUUGUUUUUAUAAUUUAACGUAUUUUUUAUUUUAUUAUUCUAUGAUUUUUUAAUUUAUUUUACUUUUCUAUUAUAUUUUAUAAUUUUUUGUCUUAUCCGUGCGCUACCGACGCAUACAUCUGAUAGGACAUGUACUAAUUAAGGCUACGUUUGUUUUACCAAAAAUGGUGAUACAAAAUUCACGUUAAAGUAGAUUUUUAGAUAGAUUGAAAUUAGAUUUUUUUUUUUUUUUUUGGUAGUUUUGUUUGUAUGGCAGUGGAACUUCCAGUUCUACUGAUUACUAAUUACGGAGUGAAUUUAUGACUAUUAUUUUUUAUUUUUUUUUUCUUUUUCAUGAGUGGUUUGAAUUUAUUUAUAUCAUUUUGAAAAAUUCAAGUUUCGAUUGAUUGAAGAUAAAAUUAUAAUAAAUUAAAUAAUAAAACUGCGCAUGUACAGUUCACUUACAGUAAAAUUAGCACACCUUAAUAAUUAAAAAAAUAUAUUAAAAACUUUAUUGUAGCAAUUGCACCGUACCAAAAGUUUUCCAAACUUUUUUUUUUUUUUUUUAAGAAAAAUAGGUAAGCACGCUACUCGCUUCGUUUAUUUUAUUUAGAAAUAAAUUUAGUAAAAAAAUAUGAAUCAAUUAGGAUUCGAAUUUAGGUCUCGAGUAUCAAUCAUCAAGUCCUUUACGACUUGCUCUAGGGACGGUCGAUCCAAACCAAUUGGUUCUUUGCCACUCGCUUUAGGGACGGUCGAUCCAAACCAAUUUUAUUGUGUCAUAAGAAAGAGGUUGUUUGCCGAUAAUAUACACUAAUUUAAUGAUGAAAUAAUGUUUUAUAUCUUCGUUUUUAUUAUGCAUGUGCGCAAUGUAAACAAUUUUUCGUUAGAUGUUAACGGGAAUAAUUGUGACGGAAUAAGACAUUCUAACAUCUUCGUCCAGCUCGACAAAGAAGCAAAAAGCAAGAAGCAAAAGCUGGUAACAUGAAAAUAAAGUUUUUUUUUUUUUUUUGAAAGAUAGGUAGCACGCUACCCGCUUCGUUUAUUUCAUUUUAGAAAUAAACUUAGCUAGAAAUGUGAAUCAACUAGAAUUCGAACUUGGGUCUCGGAUACCAACCAUCAAACCCUUUGAUACUUACUCUAGGAACGAUCAGUAACAUAAAAAUAAAGUUCUUACAACUCUUUAGGCAUGGCAAUUCUUCCGGUGGACCCAGAUUCCGCGACGAUCCGCCCCGAAUGAAACGGGAAUAGUACUUUGUCCCUGCAGGGACAGGGACGAAUAAGGAAUUCUCCCUGCCUGCGGGAGGGGACGGAGAGAAUAAGGCGGGUCGGAGAUACUACUCCGCGCCCUGCAAAAUUCCCACUCGCUAUAAUCUCUAUAAUAAUAAUACAGAGUCCGGCUACUAUACUAUAUACUGUUAUGAGUAUAGAUUUUUUUUAUACUUAUAAAUUUUCGAUCGUUAUAUUUAUUCUUUUGAUUAUUUUUACUCAUUAGAUCAUACUAUUUAAUCAACCACUACUCAACUCUAAGGGAUCACUUAUUUAUUUUUUUUAUUUGAGAGAUAGGUAGCACGUUACCUGCUUCAUUUAUUUUAUUUAGAAAUAAACUUAGCUAAAAAUAUGAAUUAACUAGGAUUCGAAUUUGGAACUUCGGGUACCAACCACCAAGCCCUUUGCCACUUGCUCUAGAGGCGGUUGGUCUAAGGAAUCACUAUUAAUCUAACUGGAGCCAUUUUUAUUCUAACUACACAUUCUUUCAUUCAACAGUCAAAAAUUUAUAAAUGUAAAGAGAUUUAUAUUCAUAAAAGUAUAGUAGCCCUAGCCUACAUAUUACUGUAUAAAUUUUUUUUUAACAUAUUUUUAAUUUAACCAAAUAAUAUCCGAUUGAUAUAUAUAUAUAUAUAUAUAUAUAUAUAUAUAUAUAUAUAUAUAUAUAUAUAUAACUUAAUAUAUUAUACUUGAAAAUUCAAUAAAAAAUAAAAAAUACUCAACGAUUAAAUAAAAUUUUAAGUUAAAUAAAAAAAUAAUUUGUAUAUUUUUAAAAAUUUGCGAGAUUUCCGUGCGGGGUGCGGAUGAGAAUUCCUACGGAUACGGGUACGGGUACGGGUACGGGUACGGAGACCCUAUAGACCCAGUCGGGGUAUAGAGAAGGGCAUCCACUCUCGGCCACGCCCGAUUGACUUGGACUCCUAGCUUGAUUUGGGACCCAUUUGGGCAACCUAACCUUGCCCGAUUGUUGUUGGGAUUCGUUGACAAAACGGGUCGGGUUCGGUUGGGUCCAAGUCAACAUAAUGACUCACUAACAGGUGGAUAACAGUGUCGUUUACGUGUCGUGUAAGCGUCUUCGACUAGGACGUACGGAUUAAAACAAUGGAAUACAAUUGGAUUGAUAACUAUGCAUUUAUAUUCUUCUUUGAUUACGAAUAUUAGUUAAAUGUAUAUUCAAAAUAUUAUUUCGAUAACAAUUAUAAAAAUAUAUAUGAACUGAAAUAAUUAGUGAAUAAGACAUGUAAUUGGUCCAAAGAUUCACGUUGUUGUUAUUCAAACUAAGUAUAUCUAUAUUUUUUUAUCCAGUAAAAAUUUAAUAUUUUAACAAAUAUAAAUGUAAUUUUAACAGAAAAGUUAUAGUAAAAUAAGAAAAAUAAGAUAGAAAAUCACUUUAUUUUCCUACAAUAUAUAUUAAUUAAUAAUGUUCCUUUGAUCGCUUAGGGGUGAAAUUGGUCGAAUAGAUUGGAUUUUUUAAGAAACUAUAUUGGGAUCCUUCUUUUUUACGCAAAUUCAAAAUUGUAGAAUGCUAAUUUUAACGUCCAUGUUCGCAUCUUAUCGAAUUCGGUGUCGAAUUCGCUUGGAGUUUAUUCUAACCACUUUCACUCCUACUCGGACGUGUGUUUUUUUUUUUUUUUCAUUUGUUAUGGAUUUAAUUAUAUUUUAUUUUUCAUUUCUUUUACCUUCUUAAAUUAUACUAUUUUUUAAGGAUAUUUCUGAAUUAUUCUUCUUUUUAUCUUCUCUACUCUAUAAAUAAUAAACUUACAAAAAAAUAAUUAUGAGAAAAAAUAACAAAUACAAAAAUUCAAAAUAAAUCUAAAAUAUUAAAAAUUAAUAAAAAAAUAAGUAUAAUAGUACUGUUGACAAAAAAAUAAGUAGUAUAUAAUAAUAAUGUAGAAAAUAAAAAUAACAUUAUAGAACAGUGCACUUUAUGUAAUUAGACCUUCUCUCAGAAUUUGGUGGGUGUGGGUCGGUCAACCCCUUUAACAAACAGAUUGGUUACGGGUCAAAGGAUCUUUGACCCGCUAAAAAGGUGGGGCCCAUGGGGUUCCUUUGAGACUUUUAUUAUACGUACGUACCUUACAUGUUAUCCGUGCUCGGAUCUCACCGGGUAUGGGUAUUUGAGAUUUUUUUUUUUCGAAUCCGUAUCCGAAUGUGGACGAGUUUAACCGAUGUUAAAUUAGUACGAUCUUGAUUAUUGGGUAUAGAAAUGAAAAUUCGAGUAUAUCACUUUUGGUUAUAAUUUUUGUCUGUACUCAAAUCGAACUUGAAAAUGAACCCGGCUCUGAAGUCAAACCCAUAUUAAACCUAUUUUAUGUAUCUAAAAUAUAAUUAUUUAGACGUUUAUACUAAUAAUUGAUGUAUAUUUGUGGUUUUAAUUUAAUAUUUAUUAUAUUAAUAACCAGGUUUGAUUUUUUAGUUUAGUUUUUGUUUUUCGAGCUUGGUUUCGGGUUUUGCAAAAACCAUUCCCCAACCGAUCCAUCGACAUUCCAUAACAUUCUACGGAAAAUAUGCAAUUAGGAGACAAACUCACUGUAUUCGAUUAUCAUGUCCUCUAAUAUGUUUUCGUCUUGUCUUAUUUACCAAUUUUUCUUAGCUAAUGUGAAAUAACUUCUGGUAGCUUAAGUUAUCAGAAUACAGUAUAAGCGGGAUUCAAGUUCAUAUAUAUAUUUCUUACUCUAAUAUUAUGUUAAAUAAUAUGAUAUGAAACAGUUAUUAUUGUUUAAAAACUUACGCCACAUGAGAACUAUAUUUUUAAUAUUUAUUUUCAACAAUAUUUUUAGUAUGAAUAACUUAGGUGCGUCAUUUUUGGUUGCAGCUUCAUAUUUUGUCAAGAGAGAUGUGGCUUCUGGGCAUGAUUCUGACGAAGUUUUUGCCGGUUCGUCUAGUGGACGCAUUCCUUCUUUUUCUUUGCUAUCUGAAGUACGGGGACACAUCAAAGUACGGUAUAAGAAGGCCGGCAAUUGGACCGUUUGACAUGAAAAUAAACACCCCUCUUUAUCCGGUUUUAGAUGUCGGCACAUAUGAUAAGAUCAGGAGUGGAGAAAUUCAGGUAAAUAUAUAUAUAGCAUUUUUUAUUUAUGUAUCGAAUUCACAUAUGUAUUUGUUAGGUCAUAUUAUGCCAUGCUAUUCGUAUUUACGACUUAUGUCGAUCGAGUUCAAAGACAUCUUUUUCAGCGAGACGUAGUUCAACUUUAUUAGUUUCAUAUCAACUCAGCUGAUUAUACUGUUGGCUUAAAUAAGCCAGCAUCUUAUACUGUGACCGAGUCACAAUCGAGACCUGUGGGUGCUGUGUCUAAAUGGUUUAAAUGAAUUGGCAGCGUAUUUAUACAGACUCGAGUUUAUGGAAUUAAUGGUUUAGUGCCAAUGAUCCUAUGUAUAUGAAUUCUCGAUAAGCAAAUAUGCUUUCUUUGUAACCUUUGUUGUUUCAGUAAUGUGACUAUGUUAUUUUGAGAUCCAUUUAGUGCGUGUAUAAUAUCAACAUGUCUCAAUUCCUAUCACCCAUUGAGUUGCAACCUAUAAUCUACUCAGAAAUUGGGUGGUUUAGAUUAAUGAAAUUAUUAUGAGAUGUGCUCCAGGAAUGAACAGAUGCACCAGGCGCGGACAAUAAUUAUUUCUCUUCAGAUCGGAAUUAAUAUGAGGCAUUUUUCGAAAGUUUAGUACUACAAUUACCCUUUUUUUUUAUCUCAAAAGAUUAUGUAUAACAUGGUUAAAUAACUAGUCAUACCAUCAAUGAAUACCUAUGAUCAUUCUAAAUCGGUAAUCUACAAUUAUUUUGGUCUUUUAUUUUCGUUCAAAUGAAAAUGAAAUGAACUAACAAGUGCGUUACUCGAAAUCAUGUCCAGGUUUUACCAGCUGUGUCGAGCGUGAAAGGCAAUAAUGUGGAAUUUUCCGAUGGCAAUUCGUAUCCGUUUGAUGCAAUUAUUUUCGCGACGGGCUACAAGAGCACAAUAAAAGAAUGGCUACAGGUAUUGAACCUUGCGUUACAUCAUAUUAUGUUUUGAAAUAGACGCUUAUUAGACUUUAGAAGUUUUAAUAUUACGAGUCCAAUCUAAGAGUAUCACGAAUUUUACAGCAUAUUGUAAAUGAUAUUUAUAUAGCCUUUCUUGAUGAUGCAUUAUCCUACGAUCUAACGGAAUAUUCUGCUACUUUUCUUUUAUAGUUAAUUUUAUAUAGGUUCCUGUAAAUAUAUCAAAUAAUAGAUAAAUCCUUACAAAAUUUUGAUGAUUAGAUUUAUCUCUUUAAAAAUUUACUAGUUUGCAAAUAUGUUUCUCGAAAAGUUCUGAAGUUAUGAGUCGCUCAUAUAUGUCUCCGCUGUUGGCAUUGAUAGGGUGAAAGUGUAAAAUAACUAUUUUGCUCUUAUAAAUUUAUUUUUACAAAAAAUUAUCUUUCUUUCUCUUUCUCUCUCUCUUCACCUUUGCUGCGGCAUGUGUGGCAUGCCACAUUUUUACCACCCCGCCUUCGACGUCGCUGCCAUCGAAGGUCUCGCUGUUGCAAUGAAUAAAAAGUAUCGCAAUGGAUAAAGAGUAGAGGGUGAGAAAGAUGACGGGACUCAACAUUGAAAUAUAAAUUAUAUAUAUAUAUAUAUAUAUAUAUAUAUAUAUAUAUAUAUAUAUAUAUAUAAGGAGUAAAAAAUCAUUUUACUCCUUCGCUAACUGCGGUUAAUCUUUUGUGAGCAGAAUAAUAUAUUUGCAUGCGAGAGAAUUGUUUGAUGAAUAAAUCUGAUAACUUAAGUUUUGUAGGAAUAUGUUUAUUAUUUGAAGCCAUAUGCAAUUAUCUCAUUCUUUUAUUUGUAUACAUGCAUUAUUAUUGUUUGCUAAGAAAUGAAAUUUGGAUUACUCUUGUGUUUAGAGUGAUGAGUAUUUGAUUGGAGAUGAUGGGAUGGCCAAGCAAAAGUACCCAAACCAAUGGAAAGGGAAAAAUGGGCUUUAUUGUGUGGGUUUAGCAAGAAGAGGACUCUAUGGCACUUCAGAAGAGGCUCAACUCAUAGCUGAGGAUAUUAGCAAGGAAUAUAAUAAUAAAUAUAAUAAUAAUGACAAAGGUAACUAGAUAUAUAUAUAUAUGGUGCAAUAAUAAUAAUAAGUUAGAUAUAUGAUGCAAUAAUAAGUGAGAAACUAAUAAAACAUUUAUGAUCAAGUACAAUGGGGAUAUAAAUGUAGUUGUAUGGUGGGAGUGGAUAUGGUUAUGGUUAUAUUUGCUAAGACUAUUUUUAAGUUGUUUCUUUUUAAAUUAUAAGGAAAAACUUCAAAAACCCCCCAUGUGGUUUCAUAGUUUCUCACUUUGCCUCUCUAUGGUUUAAAAUGUAUCAAAUUGCCCCUCCUGUGGUUUGUUUUUAUCUUUUCGGUAGCUUUUUCGUUAAUAUUUCAUUAAAUUAUAUACAAAAAACUUCAGAUACCCAUCUAGAUUUAUCAAAUAUUUAUUUUAGUGCCCUUUAAUUUUAACUUUAUCAUUGAUUUAAGAAAAAAAAAAUAAUGAAAUUGAUAAAUAAAAAAGAGAAAAAAGAAACCACAGGGGGGCAAAUUGAUACAUUUUAAACCACAGGGGAGCAAAGUGAGAAACUACGAAAUCACAGGGGGUUUUUGAAGUUUUUCCUAAAUUAUAUAAGUGGGUCAAUAUUUCUUCUGAUUGGCUAAAUUUGCAUAUGAUAUAUUAUUUUUUUUUUUUCAUAUACUUAUCAUGCUCAAGACUCAAGAGUGAGGGUAAUAAGACUGUUUAUGUGACAUUUUGAGUGUAUUCAAAUUUUUAUUAAGUAUUAUUUAUUAAUCUCUUUGUAGCCGAGUUUUGUUGGACUACUAUUGGUAGUAAAUGGUGUGAUUUAUUACUGAUUAUGUUUAAUUAUAGAGUAUUUAAAUCGAUGAUCGAUACCGUUGAACAUAAUUUAGAUUAUUUUUAAAAAUUAAAGUUUAUGCUUUUUUGACAUAAUUAAUCAAACGAUCAAAAAGUCACAAAAUAAAUUUGUAAGUUUUAGGUCACAAAAUUUGUAAUUUUUAAAGACCGAUACAAUGUGUUUACUUGUUUGAAGAUAUAAAAGAUUUUAAAUUAGCUGGAUUUUUUUUAGAAUUUUUUAAAAAUUAUUUAAAUAAGAUCUAAGCUCUAAAUUUUAGCUACAAAAAAAAUCAAAUCAUUACUUUUGGAAGGAUAUUCUUUUUCAUGCAUUCAUUUUUAUAUCCAUGCAUAAGGAAAUAACAUAAAAAAAAUAAAAUAAAAUUUGAUUUUUAGACGGUUUAAAUGGCAUAGAUCAUAUUUAAUUAUGCCGUCUAUUUGGAAACUCUAUUAUAAAAAAUAUUGUAUUUUUUCUAACUAUUGAACUUGCACAAAAAUACUGGAAAUUAGUGGAGUGAUAUUAAGAACCAAAAGAAAACUUUUUCCAAAAUCAAGCAAAUACUCUUCACCAAUGACACACAAAAAUAUCAAUGUCUAAAUUUACACCCCUUUUUAGAGUGUAUAUGAGUAGAAUUUCUCAAUUUCAAAUCAGUUUUCAAGAGUUUUAGUAUAUUUUUACAAGAUUAAGAUUAUAGAAUAUUGGCUAAAAGGGUCGGGUUUGAGAUCUUAUGUGAACUUAGGGACUUUUUGAAAGCAGAAAGUUAGAAAGUGAGAAAUUUGUGAAUUUCACGAACUCAACUUCACCCCUCACCUCACCGAAGUCAAAAUGUUAAUCUCUCUAUAAUCGUGAGCGGGAGUUUCGAUGAUCUUGCGACUUCAGAGUUGAAAGAGCUACUGAUCCUCAUCGUUUUGUCAGAGCCACGAAUUCAACUUUCGAAAUCCUAAAAAACAAACAGGAGCUUAAAUUUGGGAUUUGUGUGGCUUACAUCAGGAUUAAUAUGAGAGUUAAAUACUAAUGUACCCUUCCUAAGUUUAAAAAUAAAUAAUAUAUUUCUUCAAAUUUUAAAUAAAUAUGUAUAUUCCUUUAAACUUGUAAUACGAAAAUACCAUUCUGAUUAAGUUUUUGUCCAUUUUUUUAAAUCCUUCUUGGUUUUUUUUUUUUUUUUUUUUUUUUUUUUUUUUUUUUUUUUCUCUUUUCGUGCAAUCUUUCAUCUUAGCUUCCAAUCUGAUCUACUAAAAAAAAUGACCCUAAUCGAGAGGAGUAUCUCUUACCAAAUUUCUAUUUUUUCUCUUUUCAUUCAAUUUUAAAUUACUCUAUAUCAAGAAAAGAGGAGUAAUUGGCUUAUUUGAAAAGAAAAUGAAACUGAUUUAGUAGGCGGAAAAUAAAAAACAAAAGAGAAAGAAGAGAGGAAACUAAAGAAUUUAAUGAAAAUUGAGAAAAAUUUAAUUGGAGAUAUUACAAAUUUAGAGAGAAAUACAAAUUAAUUCAAAAUUUGUAAAAUAUUUUUAAACUUUAAAGGAGUACACAAUUAUUUAACCCUUAAUAUAAUACUAGUGUAGUGAUUCGCACAUUGUGACGAAUAAAUACUGUUGAAAAAAAUUACAAAAAUAAAAUACCAAUAAAAUACAAAAAUAGCAUACAAAGAUCAUAUUAUAAAUAAAAAAAAAGCUAAAUUACGAUUAAAAAAUUAAUAAUUCAAAAGUAAUCAACCGUGUUAAAAAAAAAUUACAUAUCAUGAAAAACUUUGCUUUUCUAAGCUUUCACAAUAAAAUCAUCAAAUAAAAAUGGUAUAACAAUUAUGACAUGUUAAAAGAGUAUCAAACUACAGGGGUCUGGCUACUAUACUAUUAUUAGUACGAUCACCCUCGUACUCAUAAGUUAUUUUCGAUGAUAGAGCUUCCGAAUCGACGAUCCACACCGUUAAAUGUUAUUUACAGCAUUUAAAACUUCUAGAAAUCAAAUUUUAUAAUUUUUCGACAUCAUUUACCGUACGAUCAAGAGGUCACAAAUUUGACAAUUUUUAACGGCCGGUAUGGGAUACUUGCUAGUUUAACGGUGUAAAAGAAUCAGAAUUUGUUAAAUUUUUGAUAGAAAAUUCUAUUCACUACAUAGAUAAAGAUCAAUAAAUCCGAUCUUGAAUUGAAGGAUCUGAUCAUCCUUUUUUAGGACGUCGUUCGAUUUUGACCGUUCAUUUUAUGCCCACUUGAUGGACUUUAUUAUGAUUUCGAAAAUUUACGAAAUUUAUUUUCUAGAAGUUUUAAAUAUUCUAGAUCAUAUUUAACAGAGUGGAUCGUCGAUUCGGAAGCUCCAUCAUUGAAAACAAUUUAUGAGUACGAGGGCUCCAAUACUCAUAAUAGUAUAGUAGCCAUGGCCCAAACUACAAUAGUCAAUCAAAAAUCUAUCGUUGUGGCCAUGACCCCUACUAUGCAUUAUUUCUAAAUUAGAAAAUAGAUCGAUCCCUAAAUAGAGAAAUCCAUUGAGAAAGGGCUUUUGGAAACAGGUAGGGGAUUUAGGUUAUCACAACGUCGAAAGAUGGAAGACAGAAAGUGGUGAAGAAGAGAGUAAGAGAGUGCUAUAGAUGAUAGCUUUGAAUUUCAUUAAGAAUGUGCUAGGAUAAUGGAUUACAAAGAGAGGGGAUGAGAAAAAAAAAUAAUGAAAUGCAAAGAGAGGAUGGAAAAGAGGGCCCCCUCCCCCCAAUAUUAAGGGGAUGAUGCCACAUAAGAUUUUAAUCAAAAAAAUUCAUAUAUGUUAAUAGAAUAGAUUAAUAAAUAUAGAUAUUUUGAAAGGUCUGUGAAUCCACAUGAAACUGGACCUAUGCUGGAAAAAAUUCUAGAAUGCAUCGACUAUAUUGAUGAUGUGGCGUCUCAAAUCAAUCAAAUAUUUUUUUUUUAGAUUAUUCAUCACAUCAUGAUUAUAAAAAAUAUUUUUAUUAUUUUUUUUAAUAAUGAGAUAUAUGGUUGACUUGUUAUUGAUGAUGCCGUGUAAGUGUCACAAAGUAGACUUCCUCCCACCACGCUGGACUGUGACGUUGAAAAUUAAACCGGGCCGGAUCCAAGCCCGGUUCUGGCCCGGCCCGGUCGGGUCCCGAUCACAGUGAGCGGUAGAGAACGAGUGGUGGUUCAUCUCCGAAGCAUCGCGAGCGCUCACCGCGAACUCUUCUUCUUCGACCCUCCUCUCCGCUUCUUCUCCACGAAGGGGUCGCCUGAGGUAAAAGCUUAGGGUUUCUGAGCCCUCCUCUCUAUCACCUCUUCUUUGUUUUUUGUAAAAUUUGUUGAGAUUUUGUUCCUUUGAUAUGCUCUAUAGGAUCAGAUCGAAGAUUAGGUUCCAAUAUUUCAUGUUAAUUUUGGUUUAGAAAGGUGUUUGUGUCUUUUAUUGCUAUUGAAUCAUGAGGUAUAGAGAUGGGAUUUUUUCGUAUUGGGUUUUUGGAUGAAGUGUAUGUGUAGCCCCUGAAUCGAUCGUGAUAAUAUUUUGACAUGGUCCCUGUAAUUUUCACUCGAAUGCUUUAGUCUACGCUGCCUUUUAGUCUUAUUUUGAAAAAAAGAUAUGAAAUUAGUGUAUCAUUUUACAAAUGGAGGUAAAUUUCUCAUUUUGUAAAUAAAAAAGAAGCAAAUUUUUUUUUUUAAGUCGGAGAUUAAGGGACUAAAGUGCAAGAUAUGUGAAAUUUCAAGGACUAAUGUAUUUAGAAAAGUAAGAUAUUCUAUGAAUGCAGUUUCUAAAUAGUUUUGUUUGUAUGCAUUCCUUUCAGAAUUAGUGCCUGAGUGGAAAUUAUUUCCCUCUUUUUUGAAUAAAUGGUUGAGAUAACUUGCCUGUAUUUCUGCGACUCGGUCAGUAUUCGACACUAACUAGUUAAGGUUUUCUAAACUUGGCUUUACUUUUUCUUUUUUUUUUUUCUUUUUUUUUUUUUUUUUUUUUUUUUUGUUUAUUGCUCAGUACGAUGAAGUUGGAGAAUUGAGUAUUCAACCAGCCUUAUUUAGUCUUUGUUUGGUCGAAGUCGUCAUCUUUGUUUCCAAAGAUGAGAGAGCUAGUUGUAUAUAUUUCUCGUCCUAUAUGUAGUAGUCCUUAUUGUUUAUGAUUAGCUUUGCUUGUUUUUUUUUCUCAUGUUUUCUACUUUUCAUAGCCCUAUUCUGUUCAUUUAUAGAUCACAAAAAAAAAAAUGGUGAAUGCCGUCGCUGUUCUGGGUAGCAACGAGGGUGUCAAAGGCACAAUCUACUUCACCCAGGAAGGAGAUGGUAGAUAUAAUACCCAAUCUCAAGUUCAUUUUCAUUGUACUAUUUACAAAAUUUGACAUAGAUGAUUGCUUCAUAUGCCACUUUGUUUUUCUCUUUCCCCUUGUUUCAUUGAUUUAGGUCCAACAACUGUGACUGGGAGCAUAUCCGGCCUCAAACCGGGGCUUCAUGGCUUCCAUGUCCAUGCACUUGGUGACACUACCAACGGCUGCAUGUCAACCGGUAAUUAUCUUUACUAUCGACACGUCAAUCGUAUCAGAGUAGAAGUCAUUAGUUGAAAUUAUAAUAUUUCUGAAUCUUGACGUUUCUUUCUUUUUUCUCUUUUUCCCCCCUGAUGCAGGGCCACAUUUCAAUCCUGCUGGGAAGGAACAUGGGGCGCCCGAAGAUGAGCACCGCCAUGCUGGUGAUCUCGGAAAUGUGACUGCUGGCGAGGAUGGUAAUGCAGCUACUGUUCUAAUACUAAUUAAAAAAAAAAAAAAAAGCGGUGCAUGCAACAGCUUAUGCAGGUGGUCACUUGACUUCACAGGACAUACCUUAGCCACUUAAAGUCUAGGUGCCACUGUAGACUACCUGAGCAAUUACUGCUAUGUAUCUUAGGUAGACGUGAGUAGGUUAAACAUGGCAUAUGGCUAAUUACCUGAUUAAGAAUUGAUACAAUCAACUAUAAAAUCUUGUUUUUAUGAUUAGUUUGUGCUUAGAAUAUUGCCCCGUACUAAAAAAUUUGGUGUAUUCUUACUAUGCUACCAUACUAUAAUAGAGUUAAUUGGGACCUCAGAUGUAUCCUAUUGUUUCAUUUUCUUGAUUUUUAUUAGCUCUCCAAUUUUUAUUUGGUGUGUACAUUCUUUGUCUUCUACUUCAUUUCACAAGUAUAUUAAAUGCAACCUACACUUGCCGCAUGUAAAAUUGCUCAUGCAUCUGGUCAUUGCCAAGAACUAUGCAGUAUGUUGAUUGCUUGCAUGCCUUUGCCGGUGCCUUUGUUAAUAUUGUUCAUGAGGCCAUAAAUCACACCUAAGGAACUGCCACUCUAUUUUUGUUUUCUUUCUUUGUUCUACUCGCAUCUGCCAUCCUUGUAAUCUUCCGCUGUUAACAGCAGUUCUGAUAUUGGCAUAUUUUCAAAUGUCAGGCACGGCUACUUUCACUAUAGUGGACAACCAGGUGAGUAAUUAUUAAUUUUCCUGUCAUCUUAUUCUUCUGAAGCUCUUCGAAAUUCUCCGGUUUGAUUUUCUCAUUGCAGAUUCCACUUACUGGACAAAAUUCGAUCAUCGGGAGAGCUGUCGUUGUUCAUGCUGAUCCUGAUGAUCUCGGAAAGGGUAAUCUCUAUUAGUUUAAUUUUUUUCUGUGAAUUCUUUCAGCUUAUUCUCGUGGGAACUGAUUUAGUUUUGUCAGAUUGAUUUCAGUAUAACCUUUUAGAAGCUUACAAAGUUAUAUUACAUUAUUUUAAAAUUCCGAUAAUGUAAACCAGACUAGUAGGUGGUCCAUUAUCCACGCUCAUACUUUUGUGAUCAUCCUAAUGUUCUUCCAUUGUGCGCUGCACGUGGAUAGUGAGAAAAAGCAAGAGGACAAAGUGUCAACUUUUUAUGUUGUUGUAUAUGGUACUUUAAGUGAUCGUUCUAAAUGCAGUCUUUUACAUUCUGUCUAUUGCUAUAAUUAGAAACAAAACUAUGCAUCCUUCAAAUUUAACCUGUCGUGCUCUGUUGUUUUAGGUGGACAUGAGCUUAGCAAGACCACUGGAAAUGCUGGCGGAAGAGUUGCUUGUGGUGGGCUCCUUGUUUCCUUUGCUACAUGUUUAUCUUUCCUGAAAUUUCAACAAAUUGCCAUUUGCGAUUUGGACCCUGAAAUUUUACUUAAACAGCGUACUCCCAGAACAUAGCACCUAUUAUCUUGCGGUGUUGUGCCUGGGUGAAGUAUCUGUCGGCUAUUUCUUGUAUCUGCUAGAAAUUGAGCAUAUGGCGUAUAAAGAGACUAUUGAUGGACUCAAAAAAAAAAAAAAAGGUGAAACAUAGAGAUGGGAUUGCAAGGAAGUAGGAAUUUUUAAGGUGUAAGAUUUAACUGAAAUAGUUGGGCACCAAGUUACAAUUAUUUGAAGCAUCUCAUUUACCUCUUUUACAUCACAGGAUAGGUUCUAUAUUUUCUGUCGUGCUAUUACACUUUGUAUAAUUCUGCUUCUCACAUUUGCAUCCUUGAAUUUAACUUUGCUAAUCUUUUAAACUUUUAUAUGAAUUUCCAGGCAUUAUUGGACUUCAGGGGUAGGCCCAGCUCCUACAAUACAUUGACGAGAAGUAAAUGGGGGAAAAGAUUUCUCUUGUACUUGGAACUCUCUUUGAAGUUUCCCUUUAGCUUUGUGCUGGAACCAUUAGAUACGUAAUAUUUCAGUUAGAAACCGUGAGCCUAAUGAGUUUGUAAUUGCUGCUUGUGUUUUAUCUUUAACAUACUCUUUUACUAAGACAUAAAUAAUUAAAUUCUAUCCUGGUUUAAUGUUGUUCCUCUGAUUUAAUAACCUUGAUUUUCGCUUUAUGAGCUGCUGAAUCGAAUAGAGUAGAGCUAUUUGAAGAAGCACUGUAACUUCAAAAUCUUUUCUCGUGUAAAAAAAUUUAUGUACGAGCCAAACAUUUGUCCUACUAACUUUCCCCCCUUCAUAUGAACUUUCCAGGCACUCUUCGAGCGCAGGGAUCGGCGCGGCUCGUGCCAGAUACUGAAGAGAGUAAAGCUAAGAACAACAACCUUCUUAUACUCUGGAACUAUCAUUGUUGGAAAACUAAGGCAUAUGCUUGAGUUGAGUGAGGAUCAUAAUCUUGUGCUAUAUCUGUAUACAUACUAUUUUUCCCUAAUAAAUUUGUUUCUUGCUCAGCUUUCAUUCUUGUGCUGUUAUUCCCUAGGCCCAUUUUCACUCUAUCAGAAAGAAUUUCUUUUUUUUUUUUUUUUUUUUUUUUGAUGCUGUUCGGAUAAAGUUGUUUGGAGAAGUAUUUGUAGUUUUUGUACUUAUCUUAAAAUUAAUUCAAACUGCUUUCUUCUUAAAAUGAAAAGUAAAAUUUUCAAUUUGGAGCUGUGCGUGAUUGUAUCAUUGCGAGGGCCAUAUUUUUCACUAACAAAACAAUCCAUUGAAGCCCACUCACUAUUUAUUUCACUCUGAUUAGAGUUAAAUUAUUUAUUUUCUGUGCAUAGUAAAUAUGAUUCUGUUAGUAGAACAAGAAUUUUUCUUUGGACUCAAAAUUUUAUUUUAGCUUUUUGUUAUAGUAAUGUUUGUUUCCCAAAAAAUUGUGAAAUUUUUUUUUUGAAAAAAGCUUAUUUUUUAUUUUUUAUUUUUUCAAAUAAAAGAUUUGGAAGAGGAAAAGAAUACUUUUUAUAAAAUUAAAAUAUGUUCUUUUACAAUCAACGGGCGAAAAAUAUUAUUUAAGCCAAAAAAUUAUUUUCUAAGAAUAUUUUUCAAGAACUAAAUACUCCCAAAGCAUUUUUUUUUUCCUUUUUUAGAGAUAUCGAUCCUUGAAAAUUACUUAAAUUUUGACCGAAUUGAUAAACUCGGAACAAUCCAAAACUGAAAAAUCGAAAAUUAAAAUAAAUCCGAAAUUCGAAUAUAAUCCGAGGCCCGAAACCCAAAAAACCGAGACGAAAAGCGAACCAAGAAUCGAGGACCAAAAGUGACUCGAACUCAGCAUGACCCGACCCGAACCCGAACCCGGCCCAACCAGCUUACUACAUAAACGUACGUGUCGAAGGGUAUUUCCGUAAUUUCGGCCUCGGCUCUUGGGUUAUAUAAACCCUCAACCCUCGCCGUCGCUCUCGGUCACCAUUUUGGGGCUUAGGGUUUUAUCCGUUCUCUAGGGUUCCUUCUCCAUUUCCCUUCUCCCUUUCCUCUCCUCUGCGGCGACUCUCUUCUAGGGUUUUAUAGAUCCCAUCGAUCCCAUCGCCAUGACGGCCCAGACGCAGGAGGAGCUCCUUGCUGCCCACCUCGAGCAGCAGAAGAUCGAUGUGAGCUCUCUCUCUCUCUCUCUCUCUCUCUCUCUCUCUCUCUCUCAUGAUAUCCUGGUUGUUCUGAAACUGAUAUUGAUGGGGUUGAAUUGAUCGGUAUGUUGUAGAAAGUUAGAGUUUUGGAGUACCAAGAGGAGAUUUUAUCUCUCCUUAUUGAUCUGAUCGGUUGUUGUCAAAAGUUUAGGUUUUUGGAGCAUUAAGAGGAGAUUUUACCUCUUUACUGAAUCGAUCGUUAUGUUGUCGAAAGAUAAGUUUAUUGGAGUAUUAAGAGGAGAUUUUACCUCUUUACUGAUUUGAUUGGCAUGUUGUCGAAAGUUUAGAUUUUUGGUGAAUUAAGAGUUGAUUUACCUCUUUAUUGAUCGUUUGAGGAUUUUUCAUUAGGAAAUGUUUGUUAAGAGAUGUUGUAUUUGGUGAUUUAAAGGGAUCGCAUGCAGAUCUAGAGGAGCCCGUAGGUUUUGAUUGUUAUUGCAUUAGCAAUGACAUAAAAGAUCCUUUUUUUUUAAUUGGUUUAGGUUGUGUCGAUGGUGCUUUUGUGUGGUUGCUGGGAAGCAUAUAUUUCAUGUUGAGUUUCUUUGUUUUGGUCGAGGCUUACCAAAAGAGAAAGUAAAAAAAAAAAGGGUUGAGAAGUAUCUUUGUGUCAUACAAAGCUUCAUGCAGUAAUCCCAGUUAAAUUGUUUGGAGUACUUACUUUAUAUGAUCUUUGUCCUUUUUUAAUAAAAAAGUAAAGAUCUCAAUGUACAAUAUAUGAUCAAUUGUGAGCAAGGUUCAUUGUCAUGGCUGAGCAGUUAAAGGCUUUACGGGGAUGUAUUGGAAUAGGAGAAUUCUUGUACUUAAGAUAGUUUGUUGGCGCAAUUACAACACAGAGAAGCAUAUGUUGUUAGACUGGGUUAAAUUAUGGUCUAUUUGAGGCUAAUUUGAGUUGGCUAAGUUGGGUUGGAUGUUUGGUUGUCUUUAUGCUUGAUGAUCAAUAAUCAGUUGUCUACAUUCUAUGUGGUUAAUGGGAUGUUUCUGAAAUGCUCAAUAUCUCUUAAAUUUUGCUUCUUUCUCAAAAUGGAAAGAAAUGAUAAUCCUAUGUAAACCUUUUUAGACACUGUAGACUGUCUAGAUGUGAUUGUUUAAGAUGAUUAAGUUUGCUGACUUAUCGUACCUGAAUUGAACUUCUACUGAAUAUAACUCCUUGGUGGUUAGGAUUUUGGGAAGAAGAUCCCUACAUGGAAGAUUUCAUGUAAGAAAAAACUAAUUUAUGGAAGCUCCAUGAACAAAUUCUGUCAUUUGUUUGCCCAAAGUAAUUGGUGUAUUUAGACGAAUUUUUGAAAAAAAAAAUUAUGGUUUUUGCUUGUGGGCUUUUAUCAAAUUUGUGAGAGUGAAUGAUUGUGUUUCCUUUUUAGGGUUUUUUCAGUUUAUCAUGUUUUCUUUUGGCUUCUCUGAGUAAGAUUGUGUUUCCGUUUUUGGGUUUUUCAGUUUAUCAUCUUUUCAUUUGGCUUCUCUGAGUUCACCAUCUCUCUGGUUCUUUCUUUUUCUCCAUUUGAUCUUUUCUUCACUUGACUAGACACUCAAAAUGAUUAGUCAGCUGAUGGCCUCUUUUGUUGGGGCUCGUUUUAAGUGUUGGCUACUGCUAGCACACGGCAGAUACAAUGCAAUCUGCACGAGCCUUGCUGAUUGAUUCUUCGUGAGUAUUUAUAUGAAAUAUCAUUCAGCAACAUGUCAUUUGGUCAUUAUCUUCGAUUUUUGUCCAUUUAAUUUCUUGAACUCUGUUGUGUGAUUCAAUUGGCAUUUUGUUGCUAGCUUUUCGGCAAGAGUUGAACUAGGUCCCACAAAGUUAUCAAAUUCGGUUGAAACUGGAUCAUGGACUAUUGCAGUUCCCAACCACAAUUUAAUCGGUCCAUAUAGGUGGGAAGGUCCCUCCUCCCUCCUAAUUUUAACAUGUGGAGGUUUUUAACCGAACAGGUCUUAGGGGCUGUUGGCAAAUGUUGGUUGGGUACCUUCUUGCCUUUAUCUGUCCAAUUAAAUGGUCAUUAGCAUGUGUAACUGGUAUUCAUUAGCAUGUGUAACUGGUAUUAAGUGACUCUGGUGCUACAUAUUUUCAUCAACUUAUGCACAGAAGCUAAAACAAGACUUGGUUGGUAGACAUAUGCAAAUGUGUAAUACUAGUUGUAGUAAGAAAUUCGAUGUGUGAGGAAUGCUGAGUAGAGCUAUGUGCUCUUUCGUUUUAUAAGGUAAGUGCAAUGUUAGCGAAGGUUUUGCCAUAAGUUUCUAAUUAUUAGCAUAACUAAGCAAAUAUGAACUCAGUAGGGCGAUGUUCUCUAUUUUUUUUAUAUAAAUAAAAGAUGAAGUUUGAUAUAUUCUAACGUUUAUUAACCAACAUUUUUCUUUUCUUGUGUGCUGUCAAGCUGUUAACAUGUGAUGGCUUUAGUAUGUCCUUCAUUUCACUUUCUGGAAAUAUAGUAGUUGUUUUCACUGCUCAAAUUGUCUUGUUCAUUUGAAUAUGGGUGAUUUGCUGAUCUCAGCUGAUUUCCAAACUGGCUUAGCCAGAAAAUAAUAUUUUUUGGACACUUUGCAGACUGAAGAGCCUGUUGUUGAAGACGAUGAUGAAGAUGAUGAUGAUGAUGAGGACGAUGAUGACAAAGAUGAGGAGGAUGCUGAGGGUGUGUUGAUGUUUUCUUUCCUCUUCUUUAAUCUCUUUUAAAUCUCUUUCAAUUCAUGAUAAACCCAAUCACAGUUAUUAGGCAACUAGUAAUGCACAUAUCAAAAGAUGCUGAUUUAUUUAGGCAUCGUUUUGCAUCAUUGCUUCUCUUUUUUGUGUUACAAAUUUGCUUCUAUUUGCAGGGCAAGCUGGUGAUGCUAGCGGAAGAUCAAAACAAAGCAGAAGCGAGAAAAAGAGCCGCAAGGCCAUGCUGAAGCUCGGCAUGAAACCCAUUCCAGGUGUCAGCCGUGUCACUGUCAAGAAGAGCAAGAAUGUGAGCUCUCUAUCACUAUUUUUUCUCUCAUAAUUUGUUUUCCAGUUUGGAAUAUUCACAUACAAGUCCCUGGAAAAAAUCUGAAAUUUCAUAUAUGCACCUAAAAACUUAAAAAGAGUGUAAGUUCCAAUAUCGGAAUGUAUAUAGGAUUUUUCAGAGUUAAAUAUAUCUGUUAUUGAUGAUUUUAGAUGCAUUAGCCCUUUUUUUCUGAUUUGUCAAAUUCCCACAUAUAACUAAAGCUUUAUUUUGGGCGCACAGAUACUAUUCGUCAUCUCAAAGCCGGACGUCUUCAAGAGCCCUGCCUCAGACACUUACGUAAUAUUUGGCGAGGCGAAGAUUGAGGACUUGAGCUCUCAGCUGCAGACACAGGCCGCCGAACAAUUCAAGGCGCCCGACCUCAGCCACGUAGUCUCGAAGCCCGAGGCCUCUGCCAUGGCUCAGGAUGAGAACGAGGAGGUGGAUGAGACCGGGGUCGAGCCCAAGGACAUCGAGCUCGUCAUGACCCAGGCUGGGGUCACUAGGGCCAAGGCCGUCAGAGCGCUCGUAGCGGCCGACGGUGACAUUGUCACCGCCAUUAUGGAGCUCACCAAUUAAGUGCUUUUGUAAGACUCGUUCUAAAAAUAGUUAUUUAUUUUCCGGAGGCGUUCAUGCUCGUGCUUGUUUCGAUGGAAUCAAUGUAAGAGUUUUUUUUUUUUUUUUGUGUGUUUUUCGCAUGCUUGUUGUUGAACCUUCACAACUUUUCGCCCAUGCUGGCGGUUAUGCUGACAAUUUAAGAUGUGCGAAUUCCAUAUGUUUAAUGUUGGGGUUUUAGGUUUACUUCAUAUCAAUAUGAAGAAAAGAUUUUGUUUUCGUUACAUCACGACUUUUUUCUGAGCUAGGGCAGCAAUGGUAUGGCCGUUGGUGAGGGCGGCGGUGCUUCUCUGAUGGCAGUUUUUAUCAUCAUUUCGUAACAUUAAAGAAGGAAAGAUUGGAAGUGUUUUAAAAUUUUUUUCAAAUUUUUUAAAAGUUUUAGAUACCGUAUUCCAAAAUAGGUCAUGUUUGUCGGAGAGUAGUAAACCGCCUUUUUGGGUUUUCAUUUCGCAUAUGGUUGUUUUGUUAAGCUUCUUAGGUAGUGGAUAUUGUGUUGUCAUUUAUUCGCAAGUAAUGCUAUACUUGUAACUAAACAAAGUUGAAAUUCAACUAUUGAGUUAUGCUUGUAACUAAAUUAAGUUGAAAUUCAACUAUUGAGUUAAUGGAGUUUGUAAAAUAUUGUGCGAUCUGUUUAUAAGCAAAGCAUUUUCUUUAUUCACUACCAUGGUUAAGGCUUAGUUUGGUAUUGAGGCCAUUAGAUAAAAUGGAAUUGAAAAAAAAACAUAUAGGAAUAUUCUUCUGCGUUUUUCAGUGGAACCGCAGAAAAUAUAUCGUAACCGACUCAUUGCGAUAUGCGGAACGCAAUAUUACGACUCAUUGCGAUAUGCAUACUUUCUCACCGCACGUGACGCAAUCCCCGCAAUCCCAAACGAAACUUCGCAAUUCCGAACGAAAAGAAACCUUGGUUGAAGUUGACUUUUUGGAUUAUGCUUUAAUCGGAGUUGGGAGGGAGAAAUCCCUGAGACGUUGCGGUUUGCUCAUAGGUUUUAUGAAGUGAAACAAUAUCCCUAGUCACGGUUUUAUACAAAUUACGAACAACUACAGCACAACAAUCAAUGUUAAUGCGAAUCCAACAAAUAGUGGGACAACCCUGCUGUUUCACUUGUACCGUAAGCAAGAAUUUCGACAAGCGUCUGUUUCACUUGUACCAUAAGCAAGAAUUUUCAAAAGCCUAAAAUUGCGUGUAUUUUUAGACCAACGAAAAAGUAAUAAAAUCAAUAAAAGCAUAUUACACCGUGUACGAUCAUCAUAAGAGUAGAUUAGAUGAUCAUAAGAGGAGAUUAGAGAGUUGCCGUAUCGUAACGAACAUUGCACCACCAACUAAUAUUUUCAUGAAUUACGGUACGUGUCAGCCCGAGCACACAACAAUUAAGUUACGCACUGAUUUCUGCACGAUAAAACUAAGGGGAAAAGAAAAAAAUACUAAGAUUUGUCUUUGAUGUGUCAAUGAAGUACAAAAUCAAAAUAACGGCGUACGCCGCUGAUUUGUUCACAAGAGAGCAUCCCCAAAGAACUGCCAGUGCAUUAAUAACAUAUUGAGAGGCACAGAAGGAUACCCAAAGAACUGCCAGUUCAUUAAUAACAUCUUGAGAGGCACGGAAGCAUACCCAUAACAUAUAUUCAGAUCAAAAAUGCGGCGACAUGUCGGAAGUGAUCAACUUAUUUGAUUUGAGUUUUCAUUAAAGAGAAUGUCAAAAAGAAGGGUUUCUAACAGUGAGAACACAAAUUACCUUACGAAUCAUCGACACCACUCAAGCAAUGUUUAAGAAUUGCGAGACACUAAUUCAAAUGAGCUCAUCGUAGAUUUAGCAGCUGUACAACUACGACCGUAGAAUACAUUUCCAUUUCUUUGUUUGCAUGAACAUGUAAAAGCACUGCAUUAGAACUUUAUAAAAUAGAACUGCAUUGACUAGUCCUCAUUCCGCAAUAGCAAAGUAAGAUUUCUAGGGUUAAGUGUCAUGGCAAUUUUAUUGUAUGUUCAAAGUGAAUAACACAUGAUUGCCAACUACAUAACAUGAUUACCAUAGAAGUAGAUAUAUAGGAGAAGCACUGAUCAUAAGGGUUCUGCAGAUCGAUUCCCAGGUUCCAGAAAAAGUCUGAAUAAAUUAAGAAUCUUCAAGUCCAACUAUGUAGCUUAAAUAAAUGCAAACAAAUUAUCACAGGCAAUACUUGAACUGCUUUAAUACCUAAAAGGCCCAUCCUACACUCAAAUUAUCAAUAAGUACAAUCAUUAUUCAGCAAGUAGAGUAAGCACACCAUUGGUUGGAAGAAAGCACAAAGAUGGACAAGACAUACAACUUUGAAAAUAUAUGCACUCACAAGAACUGCAGAAUAGCACAACUACAAUAAUCGCUAAACACAAUUGCUAUUCAGCAUGUAGAAUAGCACAACAUUGUAAGUUAGAAGAAAGCAUAAAGAUGAACAUAAGCACUCACUAGAACUGUAGAAUAGCACUUGUAUGAUGUUCUUAGUCUUUUAAGACAUCCAAAUUUUCAAGGAACCUUGCAGAAAAAUUACCACAAAGAACCCCAAAUGGCUACAUUUGAAGUUCGAUAAGGAAAUGAGCGAGAAGAAUCUGCCAUCGACUAGUGUAAUUAUAAUAAACGUCACAAAGUCUAAUAAUAUAAAAGGAUAUAACCUUGAAUACAUUUUUUGAUACCUCUGUCUGUUCAUAAUUGACAUUGAUAGGAAAAAGCAUAUAAACAAGCAGCUUUCGAUUGUUUUAGCUACUACCAAGACGUGCGCAAACUUCCUUGCCACCCAGCUUAACUAGUAAAAAUGUGGCUGAAAUGGAAACUUAACAGAUAAGCAACUAAACUCAAAAUAUAUGAAUAUGUAACUUCUAGCAAUCAACAGGCCAUAUGAAAGUAACCCAUAAAGUUCUUAUAUUCACUGGAAGCAGCAUAACAAACACAGAUACCAGCCUAAUGAGAAUUAGAGCUAGAACUUGAUGAACGAAAAGGCCAAAGAAACGAGAACGGAUUCCUUCUCCUCUGCCGCUCAUUGCUUCUCCCAUCGCUGCCCGAACUCUGACGACUCGAUCUCGACCUCGAACAACCAACUGCCGAUCCCUGCGGCGGCAACACAAAGCGGCAUACUGGGCACGAGUUAUGCUGCUCCAACCAUGGAACUAUGCAAUCUGAAUGAUACAAAUGCAGGCAGGGCAUCUCUCUUGCCUCCGAACCCAACUCAAACUUUUCCUUACAUACAGGACAGUGUGAAUCCCCAUUCAGAUGUCUCUGGUUGAUCUUAAUAGUCGGCAUCGCGGUGAUAGAUGACUGUGAAGCAGGCGGCGGGCCACGAUUGUCAUGCUGACUCAACUGGUCGAUCAAUUCUGAUACGUUGGCCCGCUGCAGCCCAACACCGUUGCGGCCAUUGAAGAAGAAAUCGAAGCCAUUGGCAUCCGAUAUGUGGGCAGGGAUUUGGCCACGGAAGAGCAACCAUGGGCCUGGUCCAAACUCCAUCUCUAUGUCGGAGAAGAUACUCGGCCGGCCUCGGAUAUCGACUUCCCGAUUCCUUCCCACCAUCCCUGGCCUCAUCAUGGCGGAUAGGGCCUCCACUACGCCAAAGCGAGGGUCCCUGUGGAAGUCAGGAUCGAUGAAGUGGGUCAUCAUUAGGGAGUCCACAUCAUCAAGCUCGAGCACGAAGCCAUUGUCGCAGUUGGGGCAGACCAUGUAGCGACCUCGAGGGCGGACUCUCUGGCGGCACUGGAAGCACCAAUGGGACCUGCUACUACUCGACAUUCCCCGCGAUUUUGUUUAUUGCGGAAGUUCAAAUAGAUUGAGAAACCAAGAUGAUGGACAUAAACGAGAUUCUGCAACAAGAAAUCAGAUCCAUGUCAUUACAAAAAGAGUGUUGCCUAGGAAGUUCGCUUGGCGGCAAAAAAAAAAAAAACGCAUUCGGAUUGAAUCGUUUGGUAUCCUUGCCACUUUCUUAUACUUUUAAAUGAAGUGUAUGGGUGGACAGUGGAGAGUCUGCAAUCUAUACAUCUAAAAGGUUUUCUACGCGACAUCCAGCCAGACUGCAUAGAAAGCUAGCCAAUGAUUAGUGAUUACAAGAGUAAAAAAGUGCACUUGCCGUCGCAACCAACCACAUAAAAAUUUUUAAUUUACACCGACCGUAUCGAGCACAGUUGGCUAAAGACUUAAUGAUUGAUACCUAAGGUUCCAAAUUAGAAGUCUAAUUGCUUCAUAUUUUCAGCAGAGUUUAUUUGUUAAAAAAAUGAGCGAAGCAUGAAUUCUCUAAAAAUAAAUGAAUAAAUAAAAAUAAAAAUAAGAGACUUUUUUCCCCUAAAUUUUUUUUUUUUACUUUUUUUUUUUUAAAUCGCGCAACACGUAACACAUAUUGGCAUAGCCUAAUCAGUCGAGCUACAAACGCAAAAAUGGCAUAAAAAAUUUAUUAACACACUAAGAGGAUAAUCGAUACGAUCGCUACAAAAAAACCUGUUUAUGCAGCAUCAAAUUAGAGAUAUAAAUUUAGAUCUUCAUCACCAACCUGAUAAGCAAUCGAAAGAACAGAAAGGAUUACCCAAUUAUCAUAAAUCAUGAACAAAUCAAAUAAAUUUCGAAAUAGAUCUAAUCGAUGUGCACACUAAUUCUUCCGAUUUAAUUCCUCAAUAAGGAUUACAACGAAUCAUUAAGAAGAGAAUUAAAACAAAAGGAGGGAGAGAGAGAGAUUGAAUUAGGAGAUAACCUUUUCUGAGGAGGGGGGGUGGGGGGAGAAAUGGAGGAGAUAACGGAGAAACCGAGGAAGAGGAAAAGGGAUCGAGAAAAAGAGAGGCGACACCUCGAUAUGGGGGUUGACGCGGAUGGGACCCACCUCGUCCUGCUGCAUCGUCCGCCGUUGGUUGGUUCGCGCGUUUGAAUGGACGGCUGUGACUGACGCUGAGGAAUAACCAAUUGGGGGAGUCCGGUUCUUCAUCAGCUUGCGACCGGUUCGGUUGGUCCGGUCCGGUCCGGUCCGGUUCAACCUCGAGGACGAAUAAUGUUUCACGCAAGUUAUUAAUUAUUCUUCUGCAGAGCGCCUCAUUAUACCAAAUUUCAUUCAUCAGAAAAAAUUUUAAUCAUAAAAAUUUUUUAAAACUAAUUUUUUAAGAAACUUAAACAACACAUAGUUAGAUUUUAAUGUGUAGGAUUAUUAAUAGAACAUAAUGCUUGAACAGCAUCCAAUUCCACAAAAUUUAAAGCUUAAAAUUUAAAAUUUAAAAUUUAAAAACAGUACAUGUUUCAAAUUAGAGCUCUGGGCAAGCGCCUCGUUUCAUCUUUCCUGCAGAGCAGAGAAAUUUCAGAAAUGUCAAAAUAUGAAAAUUCAUGAUUCAAAGUAAGUCCACGUUCAGACACAAGUCACUUAAAUUUAAUUAAAUUAAACACUAAAAACACAUUCCAGGAACUCGAAACAAACCACAAAAAUACACAGAAAAUCCUUAAUGGCGUCCGUUAAUCCCCCAUCUCGCAAUAGCUGAAACUCAGAUGUCAAUGUUCCUUUCUAAGGAAAUGCCGUUUUACGGGGAGGCGAGGGGAAAAGGGAAAGCAACAAAGGAAAAGAACAAAGACCAUAACAGGAUCUUUCAGAUUUUGUUGAAGGCGACAAUGUCGCAGCUCUGAAUAUACUCGUUGCACGGCUCGACCGUGAGAUGCUCCUCGAUGAGGCUGUCGACCGAAACGAGGUCAUCAACAAUGGUCAUCAUGAUCUGCAGCUUCUUAAUACCAUAACCCACAGGCACAAGCUUUGCUGCACCACAAAAAAGGGAAGGAAAAAAAUCAAUAUAUGAGAAAAAUAGUUCUGUUUGCAGCUUUUCUAUCAAAGUUGAGCCAGAAAAAGUUAGGGAGUCUUUAGUCAUAUACAUCAAUGCAAAAAUUUACACAUUAUGUUUCUAUCCCUCUGAAGUCUAUAUUUUAAAGAGACAUUUCAAAGGUUAAUAUUGCGGCCGGUCUCACUUGGUCAACAAGCAGAAGGGAGCGAUGAAUGGAUCAUUUCCAGGUUUAAAAGGAAAAAUAUAUACUAGUAUCAACUUUAUAAGGAUAAAAAUGUAUAUAUACUAGUUAAAGGUGUAACACAACUUUAGUUUUAUUUAAAUUAGUUAUCCGUUAGGAUAAAAAAAAAGGGAGGUAAGAAAAACAACUCACAUGCUCCCCAUAAAAGGCCUGGCAUUUCAAUGCUGCGAACAGCCUCCUCCAACUUCUUCAUGUCGGUCUCAUCAUCCCAAGGCUUGACAUCAAGAAGGACAGAUGAUUUUCCGCCUAAGAAUGGAUUUCUUAAAUUAGUAUCUACUAAAAACUUUCAACAAGCUUUGCAUAGCCAAUGGAGUUAGAAAAUUAUUAUGUCCCGAGUAAAAAAAAUAAAACUGAAGCCAAGAUUUGCUUGAUAAAAAGCUGAGGAUACUAAAAGUAUAGUUCCAAGAGAGCUUACUUUCCUUCUUCUUGGAAGAUGCUUUCGCAGCCGCCUCCCGCUCCUCCGCUGCUUUCUUUUCCUCCUCAGUCUCAUCUCCAAAGAGAUCCAAAUCAUCAUCAUCAUCGUCUGCAGCCUUCUGUGUGCACAUGAAGAAAGAAUCCUUUAGUUGAAAACGAAGCUACAGAAAAUGAGUACUCAGAUGAACGCAUAGUAUAAAUCCAAAAACGGCUUAUUUUGAGUACUCGAACCUCGUAGAUAAAAGGAGUUUCUAGCCUAAGGAAAACACCCAAAACCAUAAAAAACAGUUUCAUAUAUCUUGUUGGUCCUUUGAGAGAGAGAGGUGCAGCUUGCAAUCGAAUUCGAAUGAGGAAGGGAUUCAUUCUGGGUUUGAUUGAUUCAAACUUCCUAAACAAUUACUAAGCCAUUCAGGAGACAGGGAGCUCUCAGAUGAUUGAUAAAAAUAGCAAUUACCAUAUUUUUACAAGACGCUUCCCAAACUAUCUGAUUAAGAAGUGUUAUUCACAAAGAAAGAAACCAAGAAUGAAAUAGUAUAGUUUAUGUCCAUACAAUCAAGAAUGCAAGAGAGAAAAAAAAAAGAAAAAGAAGCAACCGAAUAAAAAAAGGAGUAGAAUGGAAUACCUUCGCGGGCUCGGCAGCUGGUGCAGGUGCUGAGGCAGCAGCUUGGCCUGAGAUCUUCACUCCAAGUGCUUUGCCAGGGAAUCUGAGACAUCCAGAAUUGACCAUAUAAAAAUGAAACCAAAUAGAAAAUUUGAAUUGGAAAUAAAUAAAUAAGCAACUGAACAAAACUCUUAAAUAUGGCAACCAACAUUUCUAGAGCAACAAGAAUUCUACAAAAGUAAAGAAACAACUUCUCUCAAAUCAUCAAAAAAAAUAUAAAAUCUCGUUUCAUCUUAAAGUCUUCAAGACGUGACAUAACCUUAAGAAAAGGUCAAAAUAUUUACAGUUUACAAACAUCUUCUUUCAAUGGCGAUUUAACAGCCCACUGUUGUAGGACUUAGGAGUUGGACCUUAAUCGAUGAAUACCUCAUCUAAUUUGACUUUGAGUAACUGAUUUAAUUUGUGGACAUAGACAUAAUAAGCAAGAACAAAACAUCUCAUCAAUUAAGUAGCCAGCUUAUAUUUUUAUCUAGAUUCCUCAAAGAAAAUUCUGAAUUACACAUCUAUUAUUUCUUCAGUUUAAUAGUAACACUACCAAAAUGCAAUAUAUAUAUAUAUAGCUUCAGACCAAAGUAGUGAAUGAAUCUUAAAAUCCUGAAAAAAAAAACUGUUUGAUUCAGAUUUAUAUAGCAUUACAACUGCAUAUAAGAACAAACCUUGACGCGAGAACAGCAGAAACACUCUCAUACCACCGGGACGCAUUCGGGAAUGACUCUCCAGGCUUCGCCGACACUGCGGCAAACACUUUGACAUCAUCUUUGCUGAUCACAUCUCUGAUAAAGAACAAUAACCACCAUAACACAUCAAUAAAGCAUAAAAAGGACAAAUUUUUAUCACAAUUAAACGUGAAAUUCUCCACGAAGCACACGAAUCAACUAAAACUCAGAUUUUUCUACUUUUCUAAGCACGAAAACAAAGUAAAUAGGAGAUCGACGGGGUUAGAUCAAAUCGAAAUCGGAGGAUUACAACAGUGAUGGGGUUACUUACCCGGAGACGAAGCUCUUUCCGGAGAGGAACUCGUCGAGGGUUCUGAGGCCCGAUUCGGUGUGGAGAUCGGAGAAGGAGAUCGCCAUUGGAUCCGUAGCGCGAUGGGGCGAGGCGGUAGAGGAUUCGGGGGAUUCGGGGAAACGUGAACGGCGCCAAAACCCUAACCCUAGACGAUAGAGAGAGGGGCAAAAAGGAGCGCAUAAAAGGGUUUAUAUAGGUGGGAUCUCUGUAGCUAUGAAACGAUUAAGGGAAUAUUCCUAACAAGGCCCAAAAAACAAAAAAGAAAAAAUUGAAAAUGUAUACAGAGUCCCUGCACUUUUCUAAUAAUAAUUAUUGUUUUAACUAUUAUUUAGUCAAUAAAUGUAACGACCCAGCCCACUAGCAACAAUAACUCGUUGGGCCCAACAACCAGCCCAAAAUGCUUAAGCCCAGUUAUUAUUACUAGUGUCUAAGUCUCAUAUAAACCCAAUAACAACCCAUUUCCAUCCGAUGUGGGACUAUUGGGGUGUCACAAUAAAAAAUUAAUAGCCUUAAAACUGUACUUAACCCGAUAUUUUUAUUUAUUUAAUUAACUAUGAAUUUUUUGAACUUAUUUGAAAUGAUGACAAAGAGUAGAAUAGCGAGAGAGGAUAAAAGAUCAUUAAGAAAUGAGUCUUUUAUAAUUUAGCUUUAAAUUUUAGUACAGAUAUCAAAAUUUUUCAUACAGUCGUUGUAUUAAUCAUGUAUCUCCCUGUUUAAAUAUUCAAGUGAGAGAUUAUUUUAUUUCAGGAAGGUUGUUUACAAGAAAAGGUUAAAUUAUCACGUCUACUUUGUUUUAAAAUGUUCCAUCAUAUUUUGUUUGAAACUGUUUGAAGCUCGAAAAAUAGUUUGAUUGACAUGAAACUAGUGGAUAAAGAAUUAAUUACACGAUAUAAAACUUUAGUUGAUUCACAUGCGCAAUCUAAGGCAACAAUAUAAAUUAAAUUUACCAACACGUCAACAAUAAUGCUACGGGGAAGUAGACAAACAUAUCUGAAAUUAAACUUGAAUCCAAAUUCAAAUUUCGCAUUCUACUUAGGCUUAUUAAGAAAGAUCCACCACCAAUUGCACACAAUAGUUUUUCAAAAAAAGAGUACUGAAAUAUAAAUAGAUUCAAACAUUUUAACAGUGGUUUCAUCUCAGGCCCACUAGACUCUUAGCACCUUUAUAAAGUAGGGUUACAAUGCCAUCAAAUGCUAAACUGAUGAUUGUCAAAAAGGAGCCCAGAAACCAUUCAUUAAACAAGCAAAAAGAUUUCAAAAUAACGUAACUAACACCUAAAAUUACUCGUCGUCCUCGCUCUUGGUCUUCUUCUUCUUUUUCUUCUUUCCCUCCGUGCCCAUUUGAGCAUCUCCGUCCUCCGCGUGUUCCCGAUUCUUCUUCUUUUUCUUCCUGUCGGGAGUCCCGUUUUGCUCCGCUUCGUGACCGUUCGCCCCGUUGACGGCUUCUGUAACCAUUUCCUCCUCUAGCUUGUGCUUCUUCUUCUUCUUCUUCUUUUCCGUCUGUGGCUCGACGGAAGCAUCCCCGUCGGCAACAUUAUUCGGUUGGUCCUCGUCCAUCGGAUCGCCAUUUGCUGCCUCACUCUUUGAUUUCUUUUUCUUGCUCUUUUUCCCAGAUGCCUCAUUUUCCUUCUCUCCCUCUACAUUCGACGGCCAAUAAAUGAUUAUAAACAGAAAGGAAAUAUUGAAAGAGUAAAGGGGAAAAUAUCGUAAAUUAGAGAACAAAAGUUUGAGCAUCAGAACGUCACAGUAACACUAUGCAUCUCUACUAAAAGAUAAUAACUCGCAGAACAAAGUCCAUGAAAUUUGGUCCCUAAUUUCUAUUACAUCCUCAGAAUUCAAUCGUUCAUAAUAUAUUAGCUGUAUGUUGUUGAGCGAAAUAAUCACGCUAUUUUGUUAGCCUAUGGCAGCAUCAUCAAUAAAUUGAAAUCUCAGGAAAAAUAAAUGCCAUAUCAGCAAACUCUAACAAUGACGCUGAUGCAAUAUCUUUCGUCAGAGUUAAACCAAGUGUAACUACUUAAUUGUUAUUCAGAAGGAAAUUUUCAGGGACUAAAUGGUUAAAAUUGGAACUCAGAGGACAGCACUAAAAUAAAUAUUGAAUUUCAGGGACAAUCUAUAAUAAUUUAAACCAUCUUCCGAUAUUAAGGUUAAUGAGCAACUAGUGUAGCGACCCGCGUGUUACAGUGGAUAGAAACGGUUAAAGUAAAAACGUAUAAAGAAUAAAAUAUCAAUUUAAUACAAAAAAUAAUAAAUAUAGUCUAUAUUAUAAACAAACACUUUAAAAAAAAUAAAACUAUAAUAAAAAAGAAUCGAUUGUUCCAACAAAAUUAUUCAAUCUUGUUAAAAAAAGAUCACAUAUCAUGCAAAUGGAUGUUUAAAAUUAUUUUUAUAACACAAUAAUCAUGUAAAAUAUCAUAUUGCCAUUGAUAUGACUAAAAAAACUCAUAAUAAUAUGCAAGAUAAUUUACAAAUAUUAUAUAUAUAUAUCACUUUUAAUCAAUUAAUUUACUCCGAAUAUGAAACACAACAAAUGUUCGAAUUUGCAAAUUUAAUGAAGAGGGUGGAAGACCAAAAAGUAAAGAAAAUGGAUAAAAAAAAAAACCUCUUUAAACCUUAAUAAAUCUAAAGAAAAUGAGAAAAAGUAAAAAUAAAAAAAGUAGGCCCCACUCCUCAAAUUAAGGGGGUGGGUACAUGUAGGAUUUAGUAAGGAGGAUUAAUGUAUAGGUAUAGAUUACUAAAAUAAAUCUCACCGUCAGUGUUCAUCAACCUCUCGAUAGCAGAUUUCAUCACGUCAAGAUUCUUGCGAGGCGCAAUACCCUUGUCGUAAAAGUCCAAUCUCUCCUCCACUUGCUCACGAAGUUUUUGCCCAAAAAUAGAAGUAUUCAUCUCUACAAUGAAUUAUGUUAUCAUUGAGAAUUCAGAAUAGAGACAAAUACACAAAAUAAGAUAGAUUUAUUAAAAAAGGGGAAAAAAAAAAAGGUUUCUUGCACUAACCAGAGAAACAGUCAAUACGGGAUGCAAUAGAACACUUGUUUGCAAGAUAACGGGCUAAACGACCUUUGUUCUUAGCAGAGGCCCGUCCGAUAAAUGAUGAGUGAAAUAUUAAACCAUACUUUGGAGUGUUCCCUCGAGUUUUCAAUGCCCUAUAACCAACCAAAAAAAAGUGAUUACUAAACAAUACAAGCACCACAGAAAAGACAUUCUCACCUAUUUUCAGAUUUAUAUAUGCAGAAGAUCAUAAAAUCUGGACACAUAAUGAAAUGUUUUGCAGAUAUAAGAGAUCCACAUGCAUUACAAAUACUAACCUAAUAUCACUACAAUUUUAGAGGCUUCCAGUAUUAAAGAUUUCAAACUUAGAAUGAUGAUAUUAUAUUCGAGCCUGCUUAAUAGGGGCAGCAAGAAAAAGUCCUAGUAGCUCAGAAAAUAGCUAGAAUAAAUGAUUCCUCGUUGAUAAUCAACCUAAUCCAUACCCUAUACUAACUCCAAAAUUAAAAUUCAGUAACCCAGUGCAUCCUAUACUUUGUCAAUGGAAUAUUUAAAGAUAAAAAAUGCAACCAUUUUUUUCGAAAUUACAAGACCUGGAACAAGCAGGAUUUUAAUAAUCCAAAACUUCUUUUCCUAUCUGAAUCUGAUUUUCCCUGGUGGAGUUAAACGCUCCUAUCCAAUUAUUUAUAAGUCAGACCAGGGAGGUCAACUGAGUAAGGUUUUAAUUAAAUCACCAUGCAGAGUAAAUAUUUUGGUCCAGGUUAUUCCAUGAUAACUUGCGUUGGUCGUGAUUUUCUUCCUGUGGUUACAGUAUGGAGUUUUAUUCUUAGCUUGUGUAUAUAACUAACAAUUCUGAUUCUCUAGGACAGAGAAGCUCCAUGUGAGGAGAUUUGCCGUAUGCCAAAAGGCCAAAACAAAAAACAAAAUGGACAAAGAAAAAAAAAGCAAUUACUCAGACCUCACUCAAUCAUAAAAUCUUCUUAUGACUCUCCAAUCAACAGCAAAAUGCCCCUUUUAAGGGCACCAAAAAAAAAGAUACAUCCCUAGAAAUAUUCAGCCAUCUGAACAGGCCCUUUGUUUCAGGCAAAAACCAUGUAAGAAGCAAAUAGCACUAUCUAGUAAGAAUAGUGCCGAACUUUACAAAAGAGCCUGAAAAUGCAGUGCAGAUGAAGAAACCAAACCUGAAAAGAGCUUUCUCGGCACCAAGUAUCUGAAGAGUGGAGGCAGGGCACUUGGCUAGAUUUGAAAGACUACCAGCAUGAGAUAUCAAGCGAGCACCAACAACUUCCCCAACCAGAGAAGCCAGAUUCGGAGCAAUGUCAUUCAUUUUAGUGACAAGAUACUCAUAAAGCUUCUUCCUGUAUUCAGAGAGAUCCAUAACUCUCUGAGCAAAUUGCUGAACGUUUAUCAAAUCAACCACAGACAGAUCCUGUCCUGAAAAGGUACGGCAAAGAUUAUGGAAAAUUAUCUAUAUACAUAUAUUUCCCAGCAGAAUUAGAACUUUCUCUGGGCACUUCAAAAACUUAGCUUCUUACACAUAGAAGCGUGUACCCACAAAUCAGCCCCUCUAUAGAAAACUAUAUGAUAGAAAAUCAACUUAUCUUAUGAAUUGGAUGACUCCGUAACUUAACUAGGAUAUAUUGUAAGAAACUGCACCUUCAACGUAUAUAUGAAAAUUCAUGUUUAUAGGGGAAUAUAGGAAAAUAGAUGAUUUUGCAGGCCCAUACUUGUAAAAGCUCCUUAAAGUGUAAAAUUUACCAAUUAUAGAAAAAGAAUGGAUUAUAGACUCUACCCAUUGAUGCUUUAGCUGCUUCAACAAUUUCAUUUGCCUUGUCCUCAUCUCCAACUACGUCUGUUAGAGCUUGAAUAUGAUCAUUAGACAAUUCGGAUUUGUUCUUCACAAACUUUGCAACUUUUGCAUAUAGAUAAUUGUCAUUGACAAUCUUCGCAAGCUCUGGAAAAUGCCAUGAGUACCAUUCUCUGCAUAACAGAGGUAGAGCGGUGAGGAAAAAGUUGAGAGCCACACAUUAUGACUUUAGUUAAUCCAAAUACAAAAUAGUAAAUGACAUUAUAGCAACACAGAAAAUAACAGAAAAUGAUAUUGACAAGCAGCACUAAAGACCAAAAAAAAAAUGUAGCUGGUUACAAUAGUCAAUCCAGUGAAAAAGAACAUGCUUCAAACUUCUCACUCAUAUAGGCUUUAAACCCAAUUAAUUCAGAUAUAUGGCAGCCAAGAAUAAUUAAUACCUUAAUUUACAAAAUAACAAAGUUUGCAAUUUAGAUUAGAUGCAAUAGAAUUCAAAAAAGAAAUGCCCACGGGACUUUAAGAGUAGAGGGACAACUAAGUAAGGAUUGUCAUUAAGGUGGUAGCAUUUUCCACAGAAAAUAGUACUCAAAUCCCAUAACACAUGACAACAUGAGAGAAGGAACACUACGAGAAUGAUUUGAGGAAUCCAUUUUUCAUAUUCUACUCUAUUCUGAAAUUACAACAUUUAUUCUUUUACUGUUACAAGCAAAUACUAAAAGUGCACCAAAAGAAGGUGAAACCUACAGGUUUUUCCAACAGUCAUAUAAUAAGAUAAAUCCCAUCAAAGGUCAAACUGGCAUUACAGUUUGUCCACCAUGGCCAUAAAACAGACAUAGAAGAAGGGUUACAAUAACAAUUUUUUCGGCACAUAUAUCAGAUAACUCACACCACUAGUAAGAUUUGCCAAUGUACAAAGUAAUGCAAAGAGACUCUAUUAAGAACUCAAUGCCAAGGAAGCAUGGCUCAAAUAUCUUCUGUUAAAUGCUAGCAAACCUGACUCUCAUUGAGAAGGAGUUGAUAUCCUUGUCCAGAGUAUCAAGUACAAAAAUGGCUUGAAUAACCAUGUUAUCCACCCUAUUAACAUUGAACUUAACCUUCGCCCUGCUGUAACUGUGGCCCAAACCCAACUGUGCCCUUUCCAAGUCAGAUGGCUGUUAACAACAUAGAAGGCAAAAGGAAACAGAAAACUGUCACCUUUCAAUAAAAUAGUAAAAGAAAAUUAAAACAACAAAAUUGAACAGUUAAGAGCUCCAACCUUUACAUCCUUGACUAGCUUAGAAAAGUGCAACCUAAUGCCGCGAAGAAGCUCAAGAACAAAAUCAUUACUCUGGCAGGGGAUUUUUGUCACUUCUGAGAUCUGAGACCCGACCUUUGGUUCAGCCACACCAAGGCUGAACUUAGCCUUCUUCGUUUCCUUUUGUUUUGGGAGGCUGGCCUCCAAGAAAUUCCUCAACUCAUCAGUCAUAAUCCCUAAACAACAGCAAAAAUCCAGCAAAUAACUCAUCUUUUCAAACUUGGAGAGAGCAACAGCCUGUGCCUCGAGCUUUCGCAGCGGCAGAGAGCUCAUGGAAGCAAAAGCUCCAAUUUGAAGCUUCUGCUGCAGCAGGAAGCUGCUGGGUGAGAUUUUUAUGACAAAGAUGUUAGUGCUUGUUCAAAAAGCUCAAGUACUGCAGUACUUCUGCAGAAGCUUCAAGAAAUUCCGAACCACAUCAGGCAUAAUCCCUAAAAAGUAGCAAAGAUAUCAAUUUGGGUCUCGGAAAGGGCAGUCAACCCAAACUGCUCCAACAAGCAGCAGCAGCAGCAGCAGAGAACAAAAGCAGAAGCUCUCCAACCUAAUGCUUCUGCAUCUGACGCGGCAGGGAGAUGUCUAUAAAGAGGAAUCGGGCUAGGGUUACAGUUUCGGAGGUGCAUCAUGCAAUACCUUCGGAGAUGGCGUUGCACUGGUUGAGGGCGUCGAGGGCGGAGUCGAAGGGGUGGAAGCCGACGAAUUUGACGACCUUGCUGAAGCGCGUGAAGUCGAGGACGGAGUUGCGCACGGCCUCGGUGUUUUGGCCGAUCUCGUCGAGGCCGUGCGCCUCGAAGAGCGAGUACCCCGGCGCCGACUCGUAGAGGAGGUAGAGCGCCAUCGCCACCCAACUCCCCCUCCCCGAGCGAAGGAGCUAGGGUUUCGAAUGGGAGGGGGAGGAUUCGCAAGCUAGGGUUUCGGGAACUUCGAGAGAGAGAGAGGGAGGGGGAGGAGGCGGGGAUUAGGGUUUUAGAAAGCGGAGAAGGGGGAGAGGAAGAGAGAAAGAGGCGACGAAGGUUAGGGUUUAAAAGGGCUUCUCGAUGCGGAGUUAUGGGUUUAUGUAAAGUGAUCUGAGCCGUCCAAAUAGAUUUGCUGAAAAAUUAUUCCCUGCACCAGGUGUAUCCAUACGCCUUACGCACUGAGCCUAAUUUUUAGGGUUUUUUUUGCAAAUGGCUCUCUGAAAAAAUUUUAUUUUAAAACUAGUCCCAACAAAUUUAUAAUUGCAAAAAUGACCCUACUCCUGCCACGCAAGCGCCACGUGGGCAGGCUGGAGGUUGCUUGGCAAGUUGAAUACGGUGAAUUAAUCACCAUGUUUCAUAUUUAUAUAUUCCUUUUCUUCUCUUUUAGGAAUGUAACGGGUCAGGUCCGGGUGUGAAUGAUUCACCGUGUUCAACUUGGCAAGCAACCUCUUAGCCAGCCCAUGUGGCGCUUGCGUAGCGCCUGCGUGGCAGGAGUAGGGUCAUUUUUAUAAUUAUAAAUUUGUUAGGGUUAGUUUUAAAAUAAAAUUUUUUUAGGGGGCCAUUUGCCAAAAAAGCCCUAAUUUUUAAAUAUUACUGUUUUAAAAUCACCAUGGACCAUUCUGAACAUGCAACUCAACCUUUCAAAAUUUUGAUUUUUACUAUCUAUUUUUUAAUUUAUUUAAUUUGAGUGACUUCAAAAUUUAAGCUAAUUACUUUAGUAAAUUUAUAAUUAUAAGAAUUGUAUGAAGUAUAGUAAAUAAAUUUGUAAUUAUAAAUGAUUCGUUCAAAUUUUAAAAUUAAAGCGCCGUUUACUAAUUCAAAUCAAACAAACUCAAGGAUUGAAUAGUAAAAUUAAAAUUUUUAAAAGUUGGAAAGCAAAAUUAAAUAAUCCAUAAUUCAUGUAAGUUUUAUAUAUUUUUACCAUACAUUAUUUAAAAACUAUAGAUGAAAUUUAAAAAUGUAUUAUUGAAACCUCAAAUAUUUUUAAUAAUUAAUAUUUUUAUAAAUGGAUAUCCAAAAAUAAUUAUUUCGACAUCAACCUUUUAAGUAAUUAAAUGUCAUAUAACAUAUUUAAUGAAUAAAAUUUUAAAGAUAGAGUGUAUAAAAUGUACCUAAAGUGUUGCUAGCCAACGACGAUGGAUGAACAAAUUUCUCCGAUUAAUUUGUUUUAUGGAUGAAGUGGUUUUGUUUUUUGGUCCUUAAUAUUUCCUCUUGGUUAAAUUGCACAAGAGACAUUAAGCACUAAGCUAAGUUUCAAUUCAGUGUAGAUCGUAAGCGCUAACAAACUAUUUCAAAAAUAUGUGAUCAUAGAAAUAGCGUAUCAAACUAUCAAUCACACUAAAAGCUUAGCUACUACGCUCGCUGUUUUCGACUUGACUCAAUUCAACGAAACGUUAGAUCUAUUUUAGAGUCUCUUGCUAUUAGGUCUAGUGUGGACCGCAGGUCCACUCAACUUAUUGAGUUUAAUCCAACUCAAUUUAUUAGUCUGUUAGACCUAUUGUUAUUAUGAGAUAGAAAGUUGAAUCUAUUUUAACCAAUAUUUAGUACAUACAUAAAUUUUUAAGUUUAAAAUUUACAAUGAUUCUAGAGUGUUGUUUUUCGUUCAUAUACUUAUUUACUAUUAUUAGAAAACUUAAUAUUCAUGCUCUAUACAUAUACUAACCAUUUAUCUUUUGUCUCAUAUUUUAAUCUUACCUAGUGACAAUUUUUUUUUUCCUUUUUUAAAUUUAGAAAUGGACCGUUGAAUUUUAAGCAUGAGAUGAAAAGAGACCUGCAGUUAAAUUUGAUUUUGAUCUUAGGCUUAGUUUGGUAUUGAGGUCUAUCUAACGCUAUUAGAUAAAAUGGAGUUGAGGAAAAAGCAUAAAGGGCUAUGCUUCUACGUUCUCCAAUGGGGCCGCAGAAAAUAUAUCGUAACCGACUCAUCGCAAUAUGCGGAACGUAAUAUUACGUACGGAAACAAACAGGGUAUUUUUCCAACGUACUUUCUCACCGCACGUAACGCAAUCUCUCCGCAAUCCCAAACAAAACCUUAAUAAUAGCGCAAGCUUCAAUUAGGAGUUUUGAAGUUUAUUUGUUCUUGCUCCGAACAACAGUGCCACGUGUGUUUUUACCGUAUUACAGUCCAGUAUUAGAAAGUAGUUGUUAUUCUAUGUAGAAACUUAAGCUACCAAAAAAUUAUAUUUCAAUAUUUUAUAUAUUCAACACUCUCCUUCACCUUUCGCUUGAAAUAUUUCUAUAAACUCAAGAGGUGAACUUGACUUAAAUAAAAAAAUAAUAAUAAUAAAAUUAGAAGCCUAAUAAUAUUCGAACUCAAAAUCUUCUACUACCUUAUACUAUUCUAGAUGUACGAAUUGGCGACCUCAAUUGACGAUGGGGGGCCCACAUACAGCAAACUAUGAGGGGCUUUUUGUGGGUGCCCCUUCCUAUCGACAGCUCUCGUCGACUCAUCGAAAUAACAUCGAUUGCACUUAAUAUGAAACAACUGUUGUUCUCGAAAAGUCGGCUUAAGCUGUAUUCAACAGUAAUGUACAAAGCUGAUCACUUGCAUCCAAACAAGCAGUAGUUGGGACUUGGGGAGGAAGUGCUUCUCCAAUACCACCACUCAAGCAACAGUGUUACAUAAACAAGCCCAAGAAGCUACAGUGCUAGUUGUAUAUAGAGAGAGAGAGAGUGAGUGAGACUAGUAUGCUUCGCAGCACGGAGUCUUCCGUGCUUUCAAAUCGUUUUUCAUGUUGGGACUUUCGAAUCGAUGAUCGAUUCCGUUAGACUUAAUCUGGAGUAUUUGAAGUAGUUAGAAAAUAAAUUUUACAAUUUUUUGAUUUCAUAUGCCUAGUAAUCGAAAAAAAUUUAUAUAGUAUAAAAUUUUAGAUCAAAGAUAUUGAUCUUAUUUUAUAUAGUAUAAAAAAAAUUUUAUCCAAAUUUCACAUGAUUUAAAUAUUUCUACACCAUUAAACUUACAAACGGCUUAUCACAACCAUUAAAAUUAUUGAUUUUAAGACCUUUUGAUCACUAGGCAAAUAAUAUCGAAAAAUCAUGAAAUUUAUUUUUUAGAUACUUUAAAUACUCUAGAUCAAGUCUAACGGAACUGAUCGACGAUUCGAAAGUCCCAAUAUCUAAAACAAUUUGAAAGCACGGAGGGUUCCGUAUCUAGAAGCAUACCAGUCUCUCUCUCUCUCUCUCUCUAUAUAUAUAUAUAUUGGGUUAAUUGCAUAUAGUUUUCUGUAAAUAUAUCGAAUAGUAGAUAUAUUUCUACAAAGUUUAACUUUUUAUUUUUAUUUUUGUAAAACUCUUAAUAGUUUUAAAUAUACCCCUACUGUUAAAAAAAAAUAGGUAAUUAUAGGUAAAAUACUUAACCUUAGUUAGUGAAUGAGAUAAAUUGACCUUUUUAUUUCUCUUAUAUUAUAAUAAUUUUAUUUACUAAUAAAAUAAGAAGAUGACUUUUGGGAGGGUAUUUUUUGUAUAAUUCUAAUAGUUGAAAUUUUUGAAGGAACAUAUUUGUAAUGAUAAAAAUGUAAUUUUACUUACCUUCUGUUAAAAAAUAAAUAGUACUCUAACGUUAACAAACCAGAAGGACAAAUAUGAAUAUCAUUGAAUUUUUGUGAGAAUAAAAAUUAAAAGUUGAACUUAUAUGAAUAUAUUUAUUAUUCGAUAUAUUUACGGAAAAUUGUAUAGAAUUUUUUUUUUUUUUUUUGAGUCAAGUUGGAGUCAAAAUCAGGAAAAUUAAAGCAUCUGAUUUGGAUUAGAACCAACUCCCCACCUCUAUGAUGACAAGUACUUUGUGUGGCAGCAAAAUUUUGAUAUUAAUAAGUCAACAUGUAGGUGAGAGGAUUGUGGUUGUGUGGGUCAAAACCUGGGUUAAUAAAUGAUUUGCAUUAAAAAGCUAUUUUGUCACACUGAUUCAUGAAAAAUGCAAUUGCAAUGACCAUAGUUUUCAAGUUUUGACUUGCCAUCAUUAUUAUUAUCACCAUUAUUGUUAUUAUUGCGAUAUUUCCGUCGCAGUGUCCGUGACGAACAAUUCACAAAUUUAAGUUAAAAAAGUGUUAAUUUCGUACAGAUCUUUAUAAAUAUAGUAAUAACAAAUGUAUUUCUAUAAAGUUCAACUUUCAUAUAUUGUUUCUGUAAAAAUUGUGAUAUAAUCAAAGUGUGACAAAAACAAUCUUAGAUUUUCUGGGAUUUAAAAAACCGAUUUUUAGAGGAUUGAGGUAAAUUUGAUAUUUAUUAACUUUUAGAACUUUAAUUUUUGAGUAGCUGAGCAACAAAAAAAUAUAUAAAUACAUACUCUGAGCAAAUUGAAGCAAAGAAAUUUUCAUUAACGACUUUACAUAUUUUUAAAAAUUUAAUAAUGGAAUAAUUUUCUAUGCAUAUUCAUCAACUGUCGAUUUGGUUUUAAAAAAAACUAAAUUUUUUUUUAAAAAAAAUAUUUUCUAAUUUCCUGACAAAUUAAUAUUUUCAUUUUUUGCUUUUUUUAGAAAAACGAAAAUACUAGUUUUUUAUAAAAUUUGGAAAAAUAAAUUUUCAAAAAAGCUAGUUUUUUUUGGAAGCCAAAUGAACAAAAGAUUGAAAAAAAAUCAUAAAAAAAAUUUCUCGAACAAUUUUUGUUCGCACUUUUUCAAGAAACCAUAGAGUCCCCUAGAAAAAAAAAAAAGAGAGUACAAAACACAAUAAAUUUUGAAAUUCAAGUUUUUUUAGAUUUUAACUGUGAAUAAUUCUUCUCAUCUUACAACACUUUACAAACUAGCGUAUAUGGCGAUAUGUAUCUGAUGAACAAAAUACAAGUCACACAAAUAUAAGUAUGACUUAUAAUUUCAAGAUUAAAAUUCAAUCGUUAAGUUGUAUAAUUUGUAAAAUAUCGUGGGAUUUAUUUAUAAGCAAAAUAUUUUUUCUACAAGAAAAAAUGAACAAAAUACCAUUCCCAUUAUUAUUUAAUGACAUUGAUGUCAAUAGAUAUAUGAGUUAUCUUGAGAAAACAAUAAAUGUGAAAUUGAAAAAUUAAUGAUGGUGGUCAUGUAAUAAAUUAAUUAACAAGAGCAUGAGUUGGCCAAGGAGCAACAUCACAAGAGUUAUGAUCAUCACUAUUGCUAGAUAGAGAAUAAGAUGAUUGUUCAUUUUUUACUAUUUAAUUUGAUCCAAUCCAAGAUAGUGUUGCCAAAUAUCUUGGAAUGAGUUUUUGUAUGGUGGCUUGAUGCGACGUCUCGCUCUCUACGAGGCAGCUAUUAUAGAACUACUGUAACUCUAACACGCUUAACUCUCUUAACUUUUUAGGUCUAGUCACUGCUCAAAAUAUUAUAAUCGAAUUAGAAGAUUUGGCCUUAUUAUAUUUUAUAUAUGUUGCAUUGAGACAAGGACGAUCCAAGAAGGCUUGUAAAACGAGCAAUCCGAUCCGAUUUUGGUUUCCGGAUACGUUGGCUAUCCGGUUUGUAAGUUUCCGCUGCCUACUAUUU